GAUUUAGGAUUUAGAAUUUGAUUUAAGAUUUAAGGUUUGGUUAGAAUUUGAUCAAGAUUUGAUUUAGGAUUUAGGAUUUUAUUUGAAUUUUUUUAGGAUUUGAGAUUUAAUUAGUUUUUGGCCUAAAGUUUGAAUGAAGUCCAAUAAGAUAAAAAUUAGGAUUAAAUUAAGAUUGAAUUGAGAUGUAUUUGAAAUAUAUUUGUAAUUAUUUUAAUAUUUUUUUAAGAUUUCUUAUUGUUUCUUUGGAAUUUCUUUGAGGUUUUUCUAAAUUUUAUUAAAGAUUGUUUAACAUUGUUAGUGUUCUAUUAAAAUUAGGAUUUUUUUGUUGUAAUUUCCAUUCUACUUUUUUUAGCUAGGUGCCUGGAGCAUUCUCAAGUAAGACUCCACGUAUUACAAUAGUGGCAAGAAGUUGUACAAUUGACCAAAGCAAGUAGAUUCAUCUCACAACCAAAUCCAAGGAAUUUUGCUUCUACAAGUAUAAUGGAGACAAAGAUUAGUAUGCUUGAGAAGUUUAAUGGAACAAGAUCAAGAUUUUAAGAAUUUUUACAAUAAAUCAAAUACUAUCUAAAGCUGCAUCACUUCCAAUAUCUUCAUGGAUUUAUUCAAGUUGGAUUUAUAUGUGCACUUUUAUCAAGAAGUGUUUUUUCUUUGUUUAUACCUUUAAUAAAAAAGAAUUCAUAAUUCUUUUAUGAUUUGAAUUCAUUCCUAGGAGUAUUUACUGCCACAUUUGGAAAAAGUGAUUGAAAAAGAGUAGUAAAGUUUAAGCUCUUAUUUUUAUACCAAAGAUCAUGGUCAACUACCAUAUAUGUUGCUAAAUUCCAAAACCUUCUUGUGACAUGGACUAGAAUGACAAAGCCCUUAUCAAUCAAUUUUAAUAUGGAUUGAAGGAUAAUAUUAAAGAUUUAUUAUUUACAAUGCCAAAGACAGAAUCUUUGAAUAAUUUAUUACUUAAGCCAUUGCAUGCAACAAUCAAUUAUUUGAAAGACAUGAAGAACAAAGACUUGGCUUGAGAAGAAUAAGUCAAAUAAUGAGAGUAGCUCCCAAGUUUUUAAAAACUUAUUCAUCAAGGUCAGAGCCAAUGCAAAUUGAUAUGGUACGUUUUAAAUCUCUUAUGGAGCAGAAAAAGACUUAAAAAUGCCAAGAAGGCUUAUACUUAUAUUAUAGAAAAGCUAAACAGACAACUCAACAUUGUUCAAAGAAUCAACGCAACCACAAAAUGACAAGCAUGGUUGCCAAAAAAGACAAUGUGUCGGAAAACAAAUUUCUCCAACUAUAGUAGGAACCAUGUGGUUAGAAUCUUACAUAACUCUUAAUAAAUGUCUUAUUUUUUUUUCAGACCCUUCACCUUGUUUUAUAAUAGAAGUUUAUGUAGAACCAAAAAAUCACGAAGUCUUAGCUUUGUUAGAUUGAGGAGCCUCUACUUGUUUUAUAGAUGAAGAUUUUAUAAAAAAUAAGAGAUAUUGUUAAUCAAAAAAAUUAAAUCCAUAUAUAUAGAAGUCAUAGAUAGUCUAUUUGCUAUCUUUUAGAGAUGUUAUACAUGAUGUUUUUGAAAAGAAGAAUGUAGAUAUACUUCCAAAGCAUUAUUCUUAUGAUUUUUCCAUCGAUCUUUAAGAAAGAACUCAACCACCAUUUGGACGAAUCUAUAGCCUAUGACAAAACAAGUUGGCUGCACUGAAAGAGUAUAUUGAUAAGAAUUUGGCUAAGAAUUUUAUACACUAUUUUAAAUCUCCAACUGAGGCUCCUAUCUUAUUUGUGAAGAAAAAAGAUGGAUCUUUGUGGAUGUGUGUGGACUGUUGAAGACUCAAAAAGAUCACCAUUGAGAAUAUGUAUCUUCUAUCUUUGAUUUCAAGACUUUUCUCAACUCAAUUAAAUAAAGAUCUAUACAAAAAUAGAUCUACAAAGAACAUAUAAUUUGAUACAUAUUAAAAAAGGAGAUGAAUAAAAAAUUACAUUUUGAACCAGAUAUGGAUAUUUUGAAUAUAAUGUCAUACCUUUUGGACUCAUAAAUGCACUAGUUGCUUUUCAAUAUCUAAUGAUUGAUAUCUUUUGUGAGUUUCUUGAUGAUUUUGACAUUUUUUAUUUAGACAAUAUCUUAAUUUAUUCUAAAAAUAUAGAAGAGUAUGAAGUUGAUAUUCAUUAUAUGUUAUAAAAACUUAAAGAUAUAAGAUUACAUGCUAAAUUAAAAAAAUGUGUAUUCUACAUUAUUCAAGUUGAUUUCUUAGGAUAUAUCAUUUCCAAGAAAGGUCUAAUGAUGGAUUUAAAGAAGUUCUAAAUUAUCGUAGAUUAAAAGAUUAUAAGAACAAUAAGAGACAUGUAAUAUUUUUUAUGCUUUGCCAAUUAUUAUUAAAUCUUCAUCAAGAAUUUUUUUCAAGCUAUAGCUCCACUUAUAUGUUUGACUUGUAAAGACAAACUUGAGUGGAGUAAAUAAGCUGAAGCAUUGUUUGAUGCUUUAAAAAAAGAAUUUACUUUUGUACCAAACUUAUAUCAUAUUGACUUCUCUAAGGCAUUUUUCAUGGAAACAAAUGCAUCAAACUUUGUCUUAGGUGCAUUAUUGCCACAAAUGGAAAUAAAUAAAAAAACUCCAUCUAAUAGUUUUUAUUCUAGAAAAUUUUUAGUAGUCGAGAUUAAUUAUGAAAUCCAUGACAAAGAGCUCUUUGUAAGCAUGGAUUCAUUUCAAGAAUAAUAUCAUUGUUUGGAAGGCACCUUGAAUUUAGUCACUAUAUAUAUAUAUAUAUAUAUAUAUAUAUAUAUAUAGAUAUUACAAGAACCUCGAGUACUUCAUGUUGAUAUAUAUUUUGAAUCAUCUCCAAGCUUACUAGAGCAUGUCUUUAUGAAGAAUUGAUUUCAAGAUUACUUAACUUAAAGAACAAGGUUUUUUGAAUGCCCUUUCUAAAUAUUCUUAUCUUGCAUCAAAAGAAGAAGAUGCAUCUUUGAUCAAUAAGGAACCAUUCUUUUGAAGCCAAAGCAUUUUUACCUUUGAAAAAUAAAAUCAACAUUAAACAACAUACUUUAUUUUGAGGGACGAUUAUACAUUCUAGAAGGUAGGACACAAAUACAUGUCCUUUAAACUCGUCAUGACUUUCCAACAGCCAAACAUUUUGGAUACAACAAGACUUUGGAAUUAAUAUCAAAAGAUUUUGAGUGGCCUCAAAUAUAAAAGGCAAGCAAAGACUUUGUAUAAUCAUAUAAUAUUUAUUUAAGAUCCAAAAAUCCUCGCAAUUAAUCUUAUGGAUUUCUUCAGCCAUUACUUAUUCCAAAACAACUAUGGUCUUCUAUUUCUAUGGAUUUUCUUACGGAUCUUCCAGUCUCACGUUCGUAUGAUUCUAUAUUUGUGAUAGUAGAUAUUUUAUCAUAAUGGCACAUUUUGUACUAUAUAAAAAAUAUAUCACAUGUAAAAAAAUAGUGUUUUAUUGCAUGGUUUUUUCUUUGAGAAUACAUUGGAUACCUAGUUGUAGAAAGUUUAGUUUUAACUUGUUGGCUAAGUUCCAAUAAGUUAUUUAAUCUUUAAAAUAGAAGACAAAUAAAUAUGACAAUAUCAAAAAGAUAUUGUACUAAUAAAACCUUUCAUAUUUAAUAAGGUUUGUACAUAAGGCUUUCUAAAAUAUCUAGAAAUUUCCUAACAUUCUUUGCCAUACCAAAUCAUAACUAACCAUUUGUUGAUAAGUUAGAUUUUUAAUAAUUUCAAAGAAAAUCCAUAAUCUCCUCUCAAAAGCUUAUCUUUAUAUAUAAAUUUAAUUAUAGCUCUAUAUAUCCAUUUUCAACAUGCAUAUAUAAUCUUGGGUCCUAAAAAGUUGUUUACAUUAUAUAAAAUAUUCAAAUUAUAAUAAAACCCCUUUAUAACAUAUUUUUUUUCUCAAAGGAUUUUUUCUUUCUAAAUUUUAGAAAUUCAUAUCUCUUGAUCCAAUUGUUCAAUUUUUUUCAAAUUUAUAGAUAAUAUAUCAUUUAUCCUUAUGCAUUACCACAAAAAAAUUUAAUUAUAAAUUUACUACUAAUUGUUUGACAUCUUAAAAAUCCUAGCAUGUGCUCUAAAUCCUAAUUCACAAGCACCCAAGUAUUAUUUUUUUAUAUCUCACAAAUCCAAAAUCCAAAUGCUACAAAAUUUGUGCAUAAAAUUUAAAUAUAUAAAAAUAUACGUUCUUGAAAAUUAUUAGCCAAAAUCUUAUCAAAUUACUUAAGAUAUAGUUUAAAAUACAACUACUAGCAAUUUGGGUCACUUACUACUCCUUAGAUUCCAAGCACUAAUUUCAACUUUCAAUAUCUCCUUUAUUCUAACUUAGAAUUUAUCAAGAAAUAUAAAUAAAGUAUAGCCAAGAAAGUGCUCUGUUUAAUCUUUAUUGCGAAUCCUCUGUUGCUUUUUGUACAUGUGCGUUAUAUCCAAGAGAAUGAAAGUAGAUACAAAAUCAACACCUUAACUUUGAAUAUCUAUAUCUCUUUCAUAUAAAUUCCAAAUCAUACAAAAUUUGUACCAAAACUAUAGCCAAAAACCUAAACUUGUUGAUUCUAGCCUUCAAAGAUCAAAUGAAUUGAAAUUAUAAUCCUAAUCCCUAAUAAGGCCUCAAGUAGCCUCCUUGCAGCCCAUUGGGCAUGAUUUUUUAUCAAUAGGAAUGGAGAUUUUCAUCAUCUAUCUCCAUUCAUCCAUAUAGAUGCCUUGACUAUUCUUUUUGCUAUAAAAAUCCUCUUCAAUUCUUCUCUUUACAAGAUUUAUAUAAUACAUGCCUUAAACACCAUAUAAAAGAAACAAAAUAAGACUUUAAGAAUCAUCAAUAUCUAACAAAGGUGACUUUAAAUAAGUAAAAGUUACUAUCAAUCAAAAUUAAUCUUAAAAGCCACUAUCAAAAGAAAAUAAAGUUAUAUAAAUUCUAAUAGUAAUUCUUUUAAACAACUUCUUUUCAAAGCAGUAAUCUAAUUACAUUCUACAAUCAAUUAAAAUAUAUUAAUAUGGCUCUUAUCAUGUUAUUUAAUAAAUUAUAUAUCAAACAUAUAAAUACAAUAUUUUUACAUGGUAGUCGAACCAUAAUACAACAACAACUAAGCUUUUUUUUAACAAUACCUAUCACUAUCACAGAUUGUCUAAAGAUAUUAUAUUAAAUAGAAGAACUCAAUUUAUAUCAAGAUUUUGGAGAAACCUUUUCAAGAUUUUAAAGUUGGAUAUAAAGCUUUCUUCAACUUUUCAUCUUUAAACUAAUAGGUAAACAGAACUGGUGAAUCAAGUUUUGGAACAGUACUUAAGGUAUAUCAUGAACUAUUAUCAAGAUAAUUGGACAACUCUUUUAUCAUUUGCAGAGUUUAUAUAUAAUAAUUUGAUAUAUUCUUCCGCUCAAUAAACACCAUACUUUGUCAAUUAUGGUUAUCAUCUAAGAUUUGAUAUUUUUGACUUUUCAAAAGUUGAUAAUCUUAUGGCAGAAGAUUUGAUAAAUCAUCUAUUAGAGCUAUAUGCAAUAAUAAAGGUAUAGUUAAAGGAAGCUAAAGAAUGACAAAAGAUUAAAGCAAAUGUCUAUCACAAGGAACAACCACAAUUCAACAUGAGUAACAAAGUAUGAUUAUUUUAUCGCAAUAUGAAGACUACUCAUCUUUGUGACAAGUUGAAUUAUUGUAGGCUUGGACCUUUUCCUAUUAGUGAAUAAGUCAAUCUGUUGCUUAUUAAUUAUAUCUACCAGAGUCUAUGAAGAUCCAUCUUAUAUUUCACAUAUCUCUUUUUAGGCCAUAUAAGAUAAUAAAUAUCAUGGAAAGAAGAAAAAAGCCACUUUUAUUUAUAGAAGUGGAUAAUAAUCAAGAAUUCGAGGUGGAAGAAGUCUUAAAUUUAAGGCGGCAUUGAAAUAGGUUGAAAUAUCUUAUUUAUUGGUAUAGAUAUGAUAUUAGUGAAUGGACAUUGGAGCUAGCAAAGAAUCUUACAAAUACAACAAAGAGAGUUGAAGCUUUUUAUCAAUAAUAUCUAUCAAAAUUAAGAUAAAUAAUAAUAAAUCUUUGCUAUGAAAGAAAUUAGAUCCAACAAAGACAACAUUCUACUUUCUAUUUUUUUUUUUAUAACUUCCAUGUAUUUAUGACGCUAAAGAGAUGGAAUAUCAAUAACUAGUAGAUUUAACUCAAGAGCUUUCACUUGUUGACUUACUAGAUGAGACAUUGUGAUUGUUACAACCUUCAAGACAAUAUAAUCAAGAUAAAGAUCUUCAAAAAUGACAUGUCUUUCUUCAAAUAGAUGGCAAGAUAUAAUAUUGUUAUGAUAUAAUACAACUAUUAGGUAAAAAAGAUGAAAAAAAUAUUAUAUUAUAAAAUAUCUUAUUUCAAAUAUUAUAGUAAAUUAUUUUAGGAGAUAGAAAAUAAUCCAAAAGAAAAUAAAAUUAAAGGUAUAAAUGCUAUCUUUUUACAAAGUAGGCUUCUACUUACUUUGUAAGACCAUUAAUAAGACAAAAUAAGAUAGAUUAGAAAAAUAAAAGAUAUGAGCAUAUAUAGGAGGGAGUUAGAAGUUGAUUUGAAUAAAAAUUAACUCAAAAGACAAAAUUUGAUAUUUGGAGAGGACCAGUUAUCAACUUAAGUUGAAAUCAAAUCUCGAGGCAUAAUACUGAGUACCUAUGAUAACUGUGGGGUUUUUUUUAAGACCAAAGAGCAGGAUUUGAAAAAAGACAUGAUAAAAUUUCUUUAGAUAUUGAUAUUGAAAGAUUAAAUGUGUAAAGACUUUGUAAGAGAUUUGCAAAGUUAGAGAUGUUUUGGAUAGUUCUGGAAUUUGUGAAAUAAAAAUGAUAUUACAUUUUAGAGAAUUUUAUGAAUUUGGUAGUAGAUCUAUAAUUUAAAUUUUGAAUAAUUAUGUAAAUAGUUGUCUAGAGUGUAGUAAGUUUGAGCUUGAUUGAAUGAUUGAAUUGAAGAUUAUUGAAUUUCAAGUAAGUUAAGGUCUCAAAAAUUAGAAUUUGAAGGGCAGAUAAGGAUUUCUAAGAUCUUCAACAAUCUACUAGUUGAAUUGAAGUGAAAUUUAUGUGUAAAGAUAAUAUAUUUGAUUUAUUGUAUAUGCAUGAAAUUUGAGAAUAGUUGAAGAGUUUGAAAAGGAGAUAUUGGCAUUGGAAGUUCAACAUUCAAAUUGGAAUAAGAGUCCGACCAACACUUGAGCAUAUUUUAGGAUUUUCCUUCUAUUUGAUAAGUACAAUUAUCUUCAAAUUUUAUGUACUUUUUUGCUAAUUUAGUUUUUGAGAAGUGUAUAAAUUUUUAAGUAAGAUCAAUGAUUUAAUUAAUAGAUAUUAAGGUUCUAAAUUGUGCUAGGAUUAGGUUGAGUUGGUUAGAUUUUGGUUAAGAUUUGGUUUAAGAUUAGGAUUGGAUUAGGGUUUAAGAUUUAGUUAAGAUUUGGUUAUGAUUUAGAAUUGGACUAGAAUUUAGGAUUUUUUUAGGAUUUGCUUAGGAUUUAGGAUUUAGGAUUUUAGAUUUACCUAGGAUUAGAUUAAGAUUUGCUUAGGAUUUAAGGUUGGACUAAGGUUUAAGGUUUGAUUUAGGAUUUGAUUAGAAUUUAGGAUUUUUCCUAGAAUUUGAUUGAAGUCUAUUAGGAUUUCAAUUAAGAUUAAAUUAGAAUUUGGUUGAGAUUUAUUUAAGAUAUAUUUGAGAUUAUUUUAAUAUUUUUUGAAGAUUUCUUAGAAAUUCUUUUAAGAUUUAUUAUAAAUUUCUUUUAAAAUCUUUUAAGAUUUCUUAUUAUUUUUUUUGUAAUUUCUUUAAGAUUUUUUUUUAAAUUUAUUAAAGCUUUUUUAUCAUUGUUAAGUUUUAAUUAGAAUUUAUUUAAUAUUCCAUUAGAAUUAGGAUUUUGUUGUUACAAUUUUUAUUCUACCUUUUACAGCAAUGUGCUUAGUGCAUUUUCAAGCAAGACUUCAAGUAAUAUAACAAUGUGUUUGAUAUCACAACCUUGGAAGAGACUCACAAUGUUUGGUGAUUUUAUUAAAGAUAAAAACAAUUCUUAACAGUAUUCCAAAUAUUUUAUUUCAAAGAAGUUACAAAGGCUUCAACAACAAUCAAAUGACAAGGUGGCCUUUCUUCCUUCAUAUAUGACAUUAUUAAUGGCUGAGAGAACCUAUCAACGAUCUUCAAAGAGAACAAAGAUCAAAGUAGGUGAAAAAUAUAAUUUGCUACAUCUUAGAUUUUAUCAAUACAUGAUUAUUGCUCUUUAUGGAACUCGCUGUCAAGGUAGAGAGAGUUUGCCUAAAGAAAGUGCUUGGCUUCUAGCUACCACUAAAUGCUCAAUCAAAUCUAAGAUAUAAAAGUAUCAAGUUUAUAUAUAUAUAAUAUUUUUCCUUUUAAAGCAAUUACAUCAAUACAUAAGACCAAGUACCGAAAAAACAUCCAAAUGUAUGAUAAAGUAUCUUAAAACCUUGUAUAUCUUUAUGAAAAAUAUUUCUUGAACUUCAACAACUCAUAUCUCACAAUCGGACCAUCUAAACAACCUAAAAUUUUAUAUGAAGUACUAAUAUACUUUCAAAAGAUUCCACAAAAAAAUUCAACUAUAAAUUCAUUACAGAUCUUGAGAUAUCACCAAAACCCUAAUAGUAGCUUUAAACCCUAGCUUAUAUACACCCGCAUGCUAUUUUCUUUAUAUCUCACAAAAUAAUUAUUGAAAUACCAUGAAACUUUGAUCUAUAACUUUUCAACCUAAUAGCUCAAAUUUAUGGAAAUUUUGAGCCAAAAAUUUGUCAAGAAAUUCAAGAUAUGGUUCCAACCAUUACUAUCAAUAAAAUGACUCAUUUAUUGUCUUUGAAUUACAUGUGCUAUCUUCAAUGCCCUAUAAAUCCUUCAUCUAGACUUGAAAUUUGUCAAACAGUAUAUGUAAAAUAUAGUCAAAAAAGUGUUUUCUCCAAUUCUAAUCGCCAAUCUUUCAUUGCUCUCUGUACGUAUAUGUUAUGCUUCAAAUAGUGGGAGUAGAUACAAAUUUGACACCUUAACUUUGAACAUCUAUAUUUCCUUUACAAAAAUUCGAAAUCAUACAAAUUCUUCACCCAAAUUAUAUCCAAAACCUUGAACUUGCUGAUUUUAGCCUCCAAAGUUCAAAUGCCUUGAAAAGAAAAACCCUAAUCCCUAAUAAAGCCUUAGGUAGCCUCCUUGAAGCCCAUUGGGCAUGGCCUUCGACCAAUAGGAAUGAAGAUUUCCAUUCCUUACCUUCAUCUAACUAUGUCUUACUUUCAUCCCUCCCAAUAAGCCUCCUUCUAAUUACGAAUUUCUUCUUUAAGCUCUAAUCUCCUCUCAAGGCUUCAUAUUAAACAUUUAGGUCCUAUAAUUUUUUUAAAUGCUAUAAUCAAAAUAGAUAAAAUUCAAAAUAAAGUUUUCUUUAUAUCGACUCUCUUUAAAUUAAUCUAUUAACCAUUCUAAUAUACAUCUAGAUUUAUUAACAUAUAAUAUAUUUUAAUUAAUUUUUACAUACUAUAAGCUUUUACAGUGUGAUAUUGUGCCUAGAAAUGAGGGUAAUAUCAUGGAUAUACAUACAUACUCUAAUAAAUACCUAUAUGAUUAGUAGAAGUAGAUAAAAAUAAAUAAUAGUAGAUUAAUUUCAUAAUAAUUUUUAGAGAAGCUUUUUAGAAGCUUUAUAGACAUUGUUUUGAUUUUAUAGGUAUUUUUAAUUGAUUGAUAGCUUAGAAACUUAGUCAACAAGUUAACCACGUAUUAGUAGCUUAUAGAACAAGCUAAUUAUGUAGCACAAAUAUAGAAAAUUUGCCUUGCAAGUUAAAAUAUGUGUUUUGCAAAGUCAACAUGUUUUAGAGAUUCUAUAGGACAUCGCCACAUAGCUCCUACUUAAGAAUAUAUAGAGGCAAGAAUAAAGCCUUUUUCACUCUUGUCAAUGCCUUUCUAGUCUUUAAUCUUGUUUCAAGACUUUCUAGUCUUCUUAUCUUUAGCAAUAGCCAUUUUAGUUUAAUAACUUAUCAUCUUUGAGAAAUAUGAGGCCAAAUUUCACCACUUAAUGAAACCUAUGCCACACAACAAGUUCAAGAGGUGGAAUCGGAGAGCUCCCAAUUGUAUAAUUGUUAGAUUAAUUUAAAUCUUUAUAUUAAAAAUUCAAUUAGUUUAGGCCUUCUAAGCAAUGGUUACGAAUAUUAAAUUAACAUGUUAAAUGAAAUUUACUAUGCAAACACAAUAAAAAUAAUUAACUAAAUUAUUACUAUUAAUUGACAAUAAGAAUAAAACUUAAGUUUUUUAAUCUUUUAAUCUUAAUUUUUAAUUUUAAAUUUUUUUUUGAACUUAACUUUUAACUUAACUUUUAAUUCAAACUUAAAAGUUAAAAUUAAAAGGUUAAGUUAAAAUUAAAAUUAAAAGGUUAAGUAAAAAAAUUAAAUUAAAAGUUAAGAUUAAAGAUUAAGUGAAAAGUUAAAAUUAAAAGUUUAGUUUAAAAGUUAAAGUUAAAAGUUAAAAGUUAAAGUGAGAAUAUUAAAGGCUAAAAGUUAAAAUUAAAAUUUAUUAGCCAAAAAGUGAAAUGUGGAGCUUACAAUUCACUAUGAAGAUGAUAGUAAAAAUAAAGUGAGAGAGGUGAAAGCGAAGGUACCUUUACAACACCUAAGGAUUGAAGGCAGCGACCCCCUUCUACUCCAAAAUUUUCCAAAAUUUGUAAUCGGCUUCAAUUUGAAUGAUUCUUAGCUUCUUGCAAGGCUGACUUGAAGGCGUUUUUGAUCCAACAAUCUUCGUUGCAAUCUAAUGAUCCAAUCGUGAGAAUUCCUCCUUUGAAGUUGAGUGAUCCAAACUGCUGUGGUGACUAACCCUCUUCACUUAGAAAUUCACUAAAAAUUCAGAUUGUCUUCAAAUUCACCAAAACUUAAGCCUUUCAGAGCUUAGCUUAUAAAGCUUGAUGUUCCCAAAAUUGCAAAUAAAUCCAAUCACCAGGCACUGAGAAAUGCCUUUCCAAACUUGAUUGAUUCAAACUGCAAAGGCAGUCGACUCCCUCAAAUUCAAAAAUUCACCAAAAAUUCCUUCUUACUCCAAAUCAAGAAAAUAUUAUCUUGUUGGAAAGCUAAGAACAAAAGCUACAACUUUUCAAAAUCUCACAUUGAGAAAACAGAAAUUGAGUGACUGAUUGAAGAAAAUCCGAGGCCCUUGAAAUCCUUGGGGUAUUUGGAAGGCCGAGGAGAUAUCUACCUCAAUGAAACAUAUUUUAAAACUUAAUGACCAUCCUUCACAAUGCAAAAUCAAUACAUACACAAUCACAAGGUUCAAAAUGAGAAUUAAAAUCUAAAUAAAAUUAAGAUUAGGAUUUUGGCCAAAUUUUGGCAUGGCUCCGCCCUUCACCCAAAAGAGGAGACAGAGAUAGGGCUUGGAAAACCAAGCCUCUCUUAUACAAUUGAGUGGAGGCUCGUAGAAGGGUGGCUUCAUCUCCAUCCUUGAUUUUUAAGAUCCCUAAUCUAGAUCUACGGCCUUCAUUCAUCCAAGAGCCAAUCUCGUUAUCAAGGCUGAUGGCUCUUGUAAAUGGUCAAGAAAGCAUUUUUUUUUUGUAAAUCUAAUUGUAGUAUUGUAUUCAAAGCACCUUUUUAAGCUAAGAUCGACUACUCACAUGCCUCAAUCCAUGCUCAAUUAUAAUUUUCAUGGAAGUUUUUACUUACAAGGGUCAUGGCAAUUUUUGUGAAAUUCUUCAAAAUGAGAAUUUCAUUGCUUCUCUUGUGAUUUGAAGGAGAGGUUGCUGAUCUUAUUUUCUUCACUCCAUGAGGUAAAUCCGGUGCCACCAUUGCAUUAAAAAGACUCCCAUUAAGUAGAAGAACCACCAUGCCACUUAAAUUUGUCAAAUUUGGAGGAAAAUCCAAAAUUACUAUUGCUAACUUUUCUAAAUGUUUUAGAGAAUUAUAAUUCGAACUCCUAAAUCAUGUGAAUGAUCAUAGAUGCAUUCAUAGUCUUUUAGUCAACCCUUAUAGUAAUGACUUACAACCUCUAAAUUAUUAAACUAACUAAGUUGCUAUUCUAAUUUUCUAACUCUUAUCACUUUAGUCCUAAUUAAUCUAAUUCAAGGAAUUAGACUAUAAUUUAUACCAUCAAGGGUUGUAAUCCUAAAAAUUCUAUAAAACUAAAUUCGACUUAUAUAAAUCCUAAUCUAACAUGUUUAAUUAUCAUAAAAUAGGAAAAAAAAUAAAAAAAUAAAAAAAAUAGAGUAUAAUUGAGAGCUCAUAAGUAACUUUGUAAUUCUUUUGAGUGAUAUAAGAGUAUAUUAAGGAUUUUUUUUUUAAAGAUUUUUGUUCUUGACAGUAUUAUAGCUACAGUUCUUAAUAAUGCCUCCCGAGGUAAUUUUUUCUUACAUCGUAAAAAUGAUAGAAGUCCAAAAUCUACUUAUCUUUAUAUUUUCAUCAAAGUCAUUGUCUAUCUUAGUACCAUAACUUAUAGCUUCUAUUGUUGUAAGUCCAUGUACAAGCAAAUAAUCCUUAUCUAAUACUUUUAUAUUUCCCUUACCAAAGUUGGUUUGGAGAAGUUCACUAGUAUUUUUCAAUGCCACUUUUUUGUCUUUUAAAAAAAUAAUGUCUUGUUAUAUCAUCUCAUUGAAAUCACUGCAAUCUUUUCAAGAAUGAGAAAUAUCAUCACACCAAAUAUAUCUUUGCACAUAUUCUUGUUUAGAAGUAGCCUUUUAACUUCUCUUAGAAGUCUUCUUCUUAAGCCUUGUAAAUUUGAUUUGAAGAUCUCGCAUCCCAUGUAUAAUCUCCUCAAGUUCCAUAUCUUCUUUCUUUGAUGUAGUCUUUAGAGGUUCAACAGUAGGUAUUGUUAAUUAUGAAGUAGGUACUUGAGUUUUAGAUACUUGUCCAACUCCUUGAAUCUUAAUCCUAUUCUUUUUCAGUUCUCUCUUUGUAUGUAAUUCUACAACAUCUUCAACUUCUUUUUAUUUUAUUGUCAACCCUUCAUCUUCUUCUUUAUCCUCAAGAAGAAUUUCUAACUUUUCUUAAAAUUCUCCAUUAGCUAUUCAAAGAAGCAAUUCAACCUUCUUUGGCUCCAUAUUUAAUUUUUCCAUCUUUGAUAAUCAAAAAUAUUACCUAUCAAAUUCUCUCAAUAGCUUUGUAGCUUGCAAAUUUUUGUUAGGUUGUUCAAUCCAUUCCAAAAAUAAUUUCUUAAUAAUCCAAAUAGUAUCCUCUAAAAAUAUUUCUCCUCUAAUGCAUGUGAAAAUGUCUCCCAUGAAUCUCCAAAAUACUCUAUAAUUAAUUUAACAUGUUGUCUUAUCUCCGGUAUUAUAGCAAGUAAAAAUAGCUCAAUCAUCUUCUUUUUGAAAAUCCAAUUCAAUUCCAUUUUCCAUAAAAACAUCUCAAAUACUUUCAAAUAUCUCUUCUAUCAAAUUACUCAAUUUUGAUAAUCACUGCUUGCAAUGCUUUAAUUGCCAAAGCCUCUUUGAGAUCAUUGCUCUAUUGCUAUUGUAUAAAUAAUAUAAAUGCUUAAAACAUUUUUUAAUAUUUGAAUCAAAAUACAUACCUUGUCCAUUAGUAGAAAAUCCACUUAAAGCUCCACUUGAAGGUCCACUUGAAAUUCUAUCCAAAGCUCCAUCAAAAACUAUAAAUUCAACCUUCUUGCCUUCUUGUUCCAUCAAUUCCAAAUAAACAUAAAUACAAUCCAAUACCUUCUACCUCAAACUUUCAUAUCAGAUUCACUAUUUAUUUCAUAUUACGUGUUAUCUUAUUUGAGAAUGCACCAGGCACAUGGCUAUGAAAAUUGAAGUUGUGCUUUACAAAUAUCCAAGAAAUCGUAAUAGGUUUCAUCCAUAUAAGAAGAAUGCAAUUCAAAUUUUAAUUCAAAAGUGCUUAAAGUCAGUACAAAGUACUUCAAAACACUCUUUUUAAUAACCUCAACCAUACAUAAACUCUAAUUAUCUUAUUACUUUCAUAAUUAUGAAAUUUUAAAUUCUCCUUAUAAGCGCUAAUCUUAGCCACUGAGUUUUGGUGAAUUAUAAUUCUUAAUUUGAUCAUCCACUUGAUGCAAAAUUUUGUAUACAAAUGCCACUAUAAGCCUUCUAUAUAUUUAAAAAAAUUCAAUUUAAUCUAACUUAUAGAUUGUGAGAAAAAGCCCAAAAACCACACUAAUGUCACUUAGCCACCAACUUGAAAGUUGAUGCAAAUGUUUCAAUAGCAAUUUCUCCUUCUUCAAUUAUUAACUCCAAUUCAAAAUCGGCAUGUAGUUUGAUAUUGAAGUCUUCUAACACCAUGCUAAAUUUCACCUUGAUCCAACUAAUAGAUCUUUAGAUUUCAUAGAAAUCCUAUUCAAUCCCAAACUGCCAACUUUUAAUACCUUCUUCUACUAAAAUCCAAAUAUUUGCCAAUUGCACCAUUAGAUUAAUACAAAAUUUUACACACUUAGUACACCUAAUCAAUCAAAUACUAUCAAAUCUUGAAUUUAGAUGUGACACCAAUUGCAAAAACUAGCCAAGAGUGCUAGCAUUAAUUGUAUUGCAUAAAUCCCAAAUCACUGAUACAAACCCUGAUUUUGAACAAUAAUUACAAAAUCAUUCCAAAUCCUCUGAAAACAAGCCUUACAACUUUGGAAUCAACUUAAAGCUAGCUCACAAAUCCUAAUUGUUAAUCUUCAAAUGUCCUCCUACUUUGCCCUAGGCGAUCGUUUUAGUGGCUAAAGAUCUAUUUUUGACUCUCUUCCACAAAUUGUCGACCCUCAAGUAUUAAUCUAACCUAUCCUAAAGAGUUUUUAGCCUAAUCUUGCCAUCAGCUUAACCCUAGUAACAACCAUGCUAAUUAUUCACCUAUUUUAAUUUGAUUUUACUAAUUUAUGGCCUUUCUAAGGCAAAAAAGAGUUUCUAUAGCUUAGAAGGUAAAAUUAUUAACCAACUCUUAAUCUUCUAGCUAUUAAGUCAAGAAAAAAAACUAAGAAGCGUUUAUAAAAACCAUGUUUAAAUAUCUUGAAUUAUUAUUGAACCAAGAUGAUUAAAUAUUAAUUAGAAAUUUGUUUUUGAUUAUAUGGCAGGUGGGGGGGGGUGAGCGCUAGGCUGAUGGAGAUGAGAGAGAGAGACUCCAUGAAUAAUGUCCCCUUUCCUUUGAAUCCUCGUCACCAGUCGCACCAUUCCCUGCCCAGAGCCGUUGCGUGCCGCCUUUCCACCUCCGCCGCUGCCUCUAUACCUCUCCACUCUCACUCCGCUGCUCGGGGCUUUUCUCAUUGCCCGUGGUGCUACUGCUCCUAUUGCUGCUACUGUCGCUUCAGUCGAUGCUGCCCUUCUGUGUGGGCGCUGCAAGUCUUUAUUGUUCGUAUGGGCUUCCUUUUCUGAGGUGAGUGUGGGUCUGGGCCCGAGGCAUUGGAUUUGUAUUUUCUUUUUCAGUGUAGCGGGCGUUCAAGCUUUGUAUUGAGAAUGACUGAAAGAAUGCUGUAUGUCGUGGCGGCCUGGCAUUUGAAGAAAUGGGUACGGUGGCUACCAAUCCGAGGUGGCCUAGAGUAUCUUGUUCGUCUUUUCUAGAAUGGUUGUUGAACUUCUCAAUGACUACGGCUCUUGUUCAGGUCUUUUUGGGAUGGACUCGCGGUAGGUCCUUCGUGUGAUACUACCUUCUGCUGUCGAUGGUUGCAAUUGUAGCGGUCUUUGUCUUCUCGCUGUUUGAACCUUCUGGAAAUUACAUAUCUGUAGAACGAAAAUAUCGUUAUCAGGUCUACCAAGCUCUGUACCGAUUCGUAACAACGUCUUCGUGAUUUCAUUCUGCUGGUACAGAUCUCUGGUUUCCGUAGUUCAACCUCCGAUCCUGAGCGUGCAGUUGUUGUGUAUCGUUGUUUGUAGAUCAGAACCCUCAUUAGAUGGAUCCUGGUAGCGCAACCUCCUUCAUGGACAUCCACUAUCAGAAGCAGUACAGUGUAGUUCAUGAAACAGUUGAGCAGUUCAAGGUUGUGGGCUCAUACCCUACAGAGGAGGAGGCAUUAACCGCUGCGCUGGACUGCCAGAUCGACGUCUUCAAAACUAUUAAAGCUCAAGUUCUAGUACAAGUGAGACAAUCAUUCCCUGAGAAGCCUUUGGCAUGGCAACUUCGAAUGCUCCAAGAUGCAAUGGAAUCGUAUUUCCUUGAUGUAGGGUUUGAAUCUUUGUCGGGCUACUUCACGGUCACGGAUCAGCCUAUCACGGACGUUGCUCCGAAGAAGAGGAAGAUGGCGACCACGCCAAGAUGCGAGUCGAAGCUGGCGAAGUCUAAUACCAGAUGUGGCAUCGCAAGCACUACCGCAUUGAAAACCAUGUCUAGAUAUAUGCACCAGACCUCGCCAUUCGGUAUGUCCUAAGAGUAUAAUCUAAGUGGCAAUGUGAAUCUAGAUCUGGUCUAUUCUUUUCGUGAAGAAGUUUUCUGGACAUGGAAGGCAAGUCUUCCUGGCUCCUGCCCAAGUCGACGAUAGAGACAGUUGCAGAGUAGCUGUGUUUCUUUUAUUUUGUUUGGGAUUCGGACCUCCGAGAAUGUGUAUCUGAUCCAGCUUAUCGACAGCACAUGAGGUGCCGUGUAGUAAGCUCUAAAUUUUUUAGAAGUUACGGAAUUAACUCCAGAGUAAUGAGAUUAAUCUUACUUCCACCCGGUUUCACUCUCUGUGUCUUGCAUACCCUGGAAAUGGCCGUUUUGGUUCAUACUCGGAUGCAGGAGAAGCACUGAGUUUUGAGUGAAUCUGCCUAACUCUCGACUAUGCAUUACAUAAAUUUACAAGUUCCAUACCUCUCACCCCUUAUUGAAACGAAGCUGCAUGUCUCACCAGCUUGUCCAGUUCGAUGAAGUAGGUUUACCUGGGGGAGGAUACCCACCAGCGUGUCUUUUCAUCAGCACAUUGUCUUCAGAGGGAAGUACAAGGCCAAAUUGAUCCUUUACAGGGAGUACGAUUGGAGCAGUGGCAGUCGUAAUGAGUUCCACAAGUUUCCGAGUUUGUCGAGAGGAAACAGAGCAGUUUCAGAGUUUGGAAUUCCGAAGCUCAUUAAACUCUAAAUCCUAAAUCUCACUUAUGUAAUAAUUACAUCAUUGUGUCAUUACUAUAAUGUUUCGAUGUAUACAGCCAUCGAUGCCUUUGUGUUGAGGCGAUUCCCAGAUGCAGAACUAGUGGAUAGAGCCUUUUCCUCGUAAUCGCAAUGUUGUACAGAUUGUCUUCUGUCCAAUUCUCUCAAAGGAAUACAGAUUCCGCAUAAACAAUGUGGUAUCUGGAGAGUAUCGCUUUGGUUACUCCAAGCUUUAACGGACAAUAACAGCAUAACGGUUGCACUGUUAAAAUUAUGAAGUAUUGAGAGACUGGUACGGACAUCGUUUUGACUCACGCUUGAGAAAAGCAGUAUUGUGAUUUUCGCACCUUGGGGUGGAAUAAUCGCGCUUUAAAAGAGCAACAUUGUGAUUUUUACAAACUCGUAGUUCCCUUUUCUCUCCCUUUAAGUUCACCCAAUGCAGCUGGCAUGUCGCCGAUUGGCAACAGGAAAUAUGUAAGAUUAUACCAAUAUCGCUUCAAGAGAUUGGUCAGGUGUGCACAUUUGCACUCUGGACUUCGUGAGUUGUGUAAAACUUUGUUGUAAAAGGGUCGUGCUGUAUGCGUUCUAUGAAGUUUUAUGUUCCAGCACAAAUGUCGCUUUGUUUUUAAGUCAAAUAUAUUGUUACUGUGAAUUGAUUAUCGUCUUCUAUUGCUAAUUAGGUUCUUCCAACUGCAGUAUUAUAAUUGUCUAAAGCAAUGAACUAUUUUGUAAAGCAUUGUUAACAUAUAAUUCGAAGAUUAAAACAUCAAAUCGCAGUUGGCAUAGAAUUCGGGUAAGACUAGUGCAUAUAGUUUGUUGUAUAGAAAAAUGGGGAACUUUUAUAAAAUUCAAUUACUCUUUUAAUAAAAUUGUGGAUAGUUGAUGACACAUGAUCUACUUCUCUAAUAGUAAAUUAAUUGAUUAUUAUUAAUUUUCCAACCUUUCAUGAAUAAAUUGUGUAAAAAAGAUCAAAUAGUAAUGUUAUUUAAUAAGUUUAAAUAGCUUUAUUGGAACAUUGCAAAAGAAUCAGAGUAUUUAUCUUAGUUAAUUUUUUUUUUUUGCUUUGUCUUCAUUGCUUCUUUUGAUGCCCCUUCGUGUAGUGGUAUUGAUAGAAGAAAGAGGAUCUAUUUUUUUUGUAGAUGUCAUGGAACAUGUAGUAUUUUGGAGUAAUAAAAAAAAUAUCUAUGAACUUAUACUAAUUGAUUUAUGAUAUAUCUAAUGCAUAAUUUAUAUUACAGAAGAACAUAUAAAGCAAUACAACUCAUAUCUUUAUAUCUUUACAAGUGGAUAUAGGAGUAAUUUGAAAACCUAAAAAAUUACAACUAGCCUAAGUUAGUUUUUUAGUAUUUUAUUUUAUGCAUAUUAAUGAAUUUGUGAUCAAAUUUUGAUUAUUAUUGAAUUUGUAAGAGCUAUACAAAGUCAAAGAUAUUUUAGAUGAUUUGGAAUUUUGAGAAUUAAAAAAAUAAUUAAAUUUUUUUAUUUUAAUUAUUAGUAUAGUUUUUUUGAACUUAAAUAAUUUUUUAAUUGGAUUAAAAUUGGAUUUUAUAUAAAAAAAACUUUUAAUUUGAUUUUAUAUAAAAAAAUGGUAAAUUUUAUUUUAUAUAAAAAAUUUAUAUACUUAUUGUUAAAUUAUAGAUUAAAAUGUGUAAAAUCUUUUAAGAAAGAUCAACGGUUUAAUUAACAAUUAUUGAAGUUUGAAACUACUGCAAAGAUUGAUUAGUAUUGGUUAGGAUUCAAAUAAGGCUUUAUUAGGAUUUUUAAGGUUUGUAAGAUUUUCUUAGGAUUUUAUUAGAGUUUGCUUAGGAUUUUAAUAAGAUUUAUAUAGGAUUUUCUUAAGAAUUUCUUUGAAACUUUUUAAGGAUUUUUUUAAAAAUGAUUUUCUAAAGAUUAUUUAUAAUUUCUAUAGAGAUUCUUUAUGAUUUAUUUAUGAUUCUUUUUAGGAUUUUUUUAAGAUUCCUUUGAGAUUUAUUGAUUAUUUGAUUAAGAUUACUAAGACUUAAUUAGAAUUUAUUUGAGAUUUUAUUAAGAUUAUUAUGCUCUUUGUUAAUUAUAAAAUUUAAGUUUAUCUAUUAUAGCCAAGUACAUAAUACAAUACUAGAGACACCUAUGUAAUCUUAAACUCCUAAACUUCUAAACUCCAAACUAUAAAUAUAAAAUUAAAAAAAACCAUAAUCAUCUAUGUAAUUCUAAAUUAAAAACCUUAAACCUUAAUUUCAAUAACUACAUAUAAAUUAUUAUUGUUAUAAAAAAUAUACUAAACAAUCUAUUGUAAUUGAAUCUAAUAUUUAUUUAGACUCCAAUUUAUUGACUUUUUGCUUAAUAAAUUUAUUUUCAUUUAUAAAUUAUUUUAAAUCAUAAUAAAUACUUUGAUCAUUAAAUAAAAUUUAUAAUAUUAGUAUAUUUAUAUUUGGACAAUAUUAAAAGUUUGCUUUCAAUAAUUUCACCAAUUAAGAUGUAUUAGUAGGAUUUAUAAUAUAUCAAGUAAAAAUUACACAAUAAAGAUGUCAAAAAAUUAAUCACAUUUAUAUAACUAUAUACUAUUAUAUUAUAUAUAUAUAUAUAUAUAUAUAUAUAUAUCUUUUCAAGACUUGAUUCUAUAUUUUUUAAUAAUUUAUUAAUAUAUUAUCUAUUAAUUAUUAACUAAUUUUGAAAGAUAUCUUUUUAAAAUUUGAUUGACUAUUUCUUUUGAUGAUGAUGUCAAACUUGAGCACCCUCUUGUAUCAAAGGUAGUCAAAGAUGUGAUGUUGUCCAAUUCAUUUGGCAAUGAUAUCAAGCUUGAAUACCUUCCUAUAUCGAAGGUAGUCAAAGAUGAGAGGUUGCCCAAUUCAUUUGGCAAUGAUGUCAAGCUUGAGCAAUAGCUAAUAUCAAAGGUAGUCAAAGAUGUGAGGUUGCCCAAUUCAUUUGGCAAUGAUGUCAAGCUUGAGUAUUUACUUAUAUUCAAGGUAGUCAAAGAUGUGAGGUUAUCCAAUUCAUUUGGCAAUGAUGUCAAGCUUGAGCAUUCACUCAUACUCAAGGUAGUCAAAGAUGUGAGGUUGCCUAAUUCAUUUGGCAAUGAUGUCAAGCUUGAGCAUUCACUUAUAUUCAAAGUAGUUAAAGAUGUGAGGUUGCCUAAUUCAUUUGGCAAUAAUGUCAAAUUUGAGCAUAUACUUAUAUUCAAAGUAGUCAAAGAUGUGAGGUUGCCCAAUUCAUUUGGCAAUGAUAUCAAACUUGAGCACUUGCUGAUAUCAAAGAUAGUCAAGGAUAUGAAGUUGCCUAAUUCAUUUGGCAAUGAUGUCAAGCUUGAACAUUUACUUAUAUUCAAGGUAGUCAAAGAUGUAAGGUUUCCCAAUUCAUUUGGCAAUGAUAUCAAACUUGAGCAUUCACUUAUAUUGAAAGUAGUCAAAGAUGUGAGGUUGCCCAAUUCAUUUGGCAAUAAUAUCAAAUUUGAGCAUACACUUAUAUUCAAAGUAGUCAAAGAUGUGAGGUUGCCUAAUUCAUUUGACAAUGAUAUCAAGCUUGAGCACUUGUUGAUAUCAAAGAUAGUCAAGGAUAUAAGGUUGCUCAAUCCAUUUGGCAAUGAUGACAAGCUUGAGUAUUUGUUUAUUUUUAAAGUAGUCAAAUUUGUGAAGUUGUAUAAUUCCUUUGACAAUGAUUUUAAGCUUUGGUAAUCACUUAUAUUCAAAGUUGUUAAAGAUGUGAGGUUGCCCAAUUCAUUUGGCAAUGAUGUCAAGCUUGAGCAUUCACUUAUAUUCAAGGUAGUCAAAGAUGUGAGGUUGUCUAAUUCAUUUGGCAAUAAUGUCAAGUUUGAGCAUCCUCUUGUAUCAAAGGUAGUCAUAGAUGUGAGGUUGUCCAAUUCAUCUGGCAAUGAUGUCAAGCUUGAGCACCCUCCUAUAUCAAAGGUAGUCAAAGAUGAAAGGUUACUCAAUUCAUUUGGUAAUGAUGUCAAGCUUGAGCACCGUCUUGUAUCAAAGGUAAUCAAAGAUGUGAGGUUGCCCAAUUCAUUUGAUAAUGAUGUCAAGCUUGAGUACAACCUGAUAUCAAAGGUAGUCAAAGAUGUGAGGUUGCCCAAUUCAUUUGAUAAUGAUGUCAAGCUUGAACACCCUUCUAUGUCAAAGGUAGUCAAAGAUAUGAGAUUGUCCAAUUCAUUUGGCAAUGAUGUCAAGCUUAAGCACCCUUCAAUAUUAAGGUUUUUUAAAGCAUGAAGACUUCUUAUUGAUGUUGGUAAUAAUCUUAAACUAUUGCAGUAUUUUAAAUUAAGUAUCUUCAAAGAAGUCAUAUAUUCCAAUUCAUUUGGUAGCAUGAUUAAGUUUGAGCAUCCUUCUAAGUCAAGUUCCAAUAAUGUAGGAAUUCUAAAAAAUAAAUUUGGAAAUUUCUCUAUAAAAGAAUAAUUACUUAAUUAAAAGAUAUUUAAACUUUGAAGUUUUGUCCAAACAUCUUUGUCAUGUAUCAUUUGCAAUGCUUUGUCUACUAAUUCUUCAUUUAAUUCGUAUUCCCCUGACAUGUUUAGUAAAAAAUAUUUUAAACUAAGAGAAUGUUUUAUCAAUACAAAGAAGAUGCUUAAUAUCUUUACGACAAUUUUGGGAGUAGAAACACCAACAUUAUAACUCAAAAAUCGAAGUAAUGAAAAAGAAGCACUGCUUAUUUUAUUUAUAUUAUUAUUGUCUAAAUUAUUGUAAUAUAAUCCUUCCAAUUGUAAAUCAACACAAUCAAAUAUAAGUUUCAAUUAGAAUUCCUACAAUAGUAAUGCACUCAAUGUACAUACAAAUCUAAUUACAAUACAAGAUUGAUUUUUCUUUAAUAUAACUUUACAUCAACAUGUAUCUUAAAAACAUAAUAAAUAUUAUAUAAUACAUAUAACUAAAUAAAAAAUCUAACCCUUACAUAAUGUUUCUUUUAUAUUAUCAUUAGUUUUUCACAUGCCAUUUAGCUAAAAGUUGAGUAAAAUUACCUUAAUUGCUGAUCUAUGAAAUGAAUCUACAUUUAAAUUCUAUAUGCUUGUGUAUUUAUACUCCAUCUCUUUUUUAACAAUACUUUUAUCCAUGUCUUGUAGUUGAUCAUGUAUUCUUAUAAUUCCAUCUUUGUCUACUUUUACCAAUGAUUGAUUAAUCAAUAUAUCUAACAUAAAUUCUACAUCUUGUUCAAAGAUAUUUUUUUGACUAUUGGUCCAUAUUUCCAAUGCUCUUUCUUUUGACAUACCUUGUGGACAAAUAUCCUUAUAGAAAAAACAACAUAUGUCCAAAAACAUAUUCUUCUCUUUAACUUUCAAAUUGUCAAAGUUGACUCUUAAUAUCUUCCAAAUCUUGUAGUUACUAUUGUUUUCAUCUCCAUCCAACUCUCUUCCCUUUCUUAACUUUUGUAACACUCGCUUCCAACAUCUUAAUCUCUUGUUCUCUCUUAAAAAUGCUCCGAUAACUUUCAAACUCAAUGGUAGGCCAUUGCAAGCUCUUACAAUUUUUAUGGCUAUCUCAUUAAGUUCAUUGGAGAAAUUUUCAUGGCCACAAGAAUAUGUAAUAAACAACUUCAUACUUGCUCCUUCAUCAAGUUCUUCAAUAUUUAUUUUACAAACUUCUUUACCAUAAUGCCUUAUUGCUUUUGAAUUUUGAAUUGUUGCAAUCAAUGUGCUACCAUUGCUAGCAAAUAUGUCAUCCAUAGGCACAACAUCUUCAAUUUGAUUCUAAUUCUUCACAUUAUCAAAGACCAAGAUGGUUUUGUUCUCCUCUAAGAAUGAUUUCAACAUUUUUUGAGCUUCUUUUACAUCCUUUGGUUUUGAUUUUACUUUGAAUUGUUCUAAAAUAUUGCAAGAAGUUGUAUAGCAAUCACCACCACUUUCAAUACACUCAACAAAGCAUGAGGCAUUGUAAAUGUCUUUUAAACUAGUUAAUAUAGCCUUAGCUAUUGUAGUCUUGUCUAUUCCACCUAUUCCAACAAGAUACAAUGCCUUCACUUUAAUUGCACAUUGUUCUUUUAUUUGUAACAAAUAUUGUGCUCUACCAAAAAUUUCUUCCUCAAAUAUAUCAACCUGCAAUUAGAAAAUUCAUAAAAAAAAUCAACAAUAAAAUCAAAAUGAUACUUAUACUACAUAUCAACCUAGUCUUACUAACUUGAGUUUGUAGUAAGACAUGUAAACAUUAUUAUGGCAUAGAAGAGUGAACAAGUUUAAAAUACCAUCAAUAUAAUCAAUUCUAUACAUAAUCUCUAUGGUUAUUUGUACAAGUCUUACAAAUGGCAAUCCAAUAUGUAUUUGUUGAAAUUCUAUAUUUUGAUGAUAGUUGUUUUUUGCUGCUUCAAACUUUGGAGCAUUUGCUAUACCAAUUCCAACUAAAUACUUUUUCUUUAGUAACUUCAAUCUUUCACAAAUAUUUGCAAACUUUGGCCGAUGCAAAGGAUUCAACCUCCAACAUUCUUGGAUAAGCUCAAUCAAGUCAUCACAAUUUGAAGGUAAGUUUGGUCUUUCACCUUUUUCAAUUCUUUCUAAUAUCUCUUUCAUGUCACAAAUAUCAUGAAAUGGAUCUUUUUUGGAAAGAAUCUUAGAACAUAUCAUUGCAAAUGAAUAAACAUCAGCUUUAAAAUGACAUAUUGCCAUUAUUUGAAAUUUAUUUCUCAUUGCCUUUGGAGCCAUAUAAUUAAGACUACCAUAAAUGUAAUUUUUCUCUAUGGCUUUUGGAUUUCUUCCAACUUCAAUCUUAGACAUUCCAAAAUCAAUCACUUUUACAAUAGCAUGCUGAGUGAUCUUAUUCAUAACCAUUGUCUCCACAAUGUCAACCAAAAUAUUCUCAGGUUUUAGACCUCAAUGUGCAAUAUGCAUGUCAUGCAAGUAACACAUCUCUUUUGCAAUUUGAUGCAUAAUGUCAAUAAGAAAAAUAUAAGAUACCUCUUUUUCUACUUCCAACAUAUUGCUCAAAUUGUUUUGCAUCAACUCCAUUUCAAUAUACAAAUACUCUUUUUUGUCUUUUGUUACAAUAGAUUCAAUGCUUUCAUUGGCACUACCUUUCAUUGCAAAAUAAUAUAUUAUCAAGUUAGGAUGGCUUAAACUUCUUAAAAUGCUUACUUCUUUGAUGAACAUUUUAUCAAGUUCAACAUCUAUCUUUUUAGUUGCACACACAAGUCCCAACCACUUUAAUUUAUAAACUUCACCACAACUUCCUUUCUUUAUGCAUUUUGAAAUUGUAAGACUCUUCAUGUUGACAACAAUUUCAAAUUACCUAACUCUCCACCUUCUAUGCAAAGCAAGUCUUCAAAUCUUUGUAGUAGAUGCUUUACUAAUCCAUAAUAUUCAAAGUCUUCUUUUCCAUUUACAUGGAUCAACUUCUUCCAUAAAACUCGACAUCCUCUUCUACUUCAUCAUGUGUUGCAACAUUAAAAGUGCAUGUAUUCUUUUCAACUUUGUUGGGAUAGUGCUUCAAAACCACAUCACUUAGAAAAUAAGAUUUGUUUAAAAUGAAAAAUAACUCACUCAAUAAAGGUCCAAAUUCCAAUCCAUCAUUAAUGCAAGUCAUUAGGUGGUCAAAAACCAUUAUGACAUGUUCAAUUUUCUUGCACAAAUUAGCACAUUGAUUUCCAUUCAAGAAGUUAUUUUUCUUCAAUAUCCACUCAAACAUGGAGAAGCACCACCAUGUUCUCAGACAUGGAGGUACUCAAUUGCAACAUGCUGUGAUUGUGAGUUUAACACACGCUACUUCCUAUUCGAGAUAGGAACAAAAGACCUGAAACCAUCAAUCGAAUCAUCAGAAGCUACACAACUCAUAACAACUCAGAAUUUACUCAUGAUAGAUACUUCACUUAACGCCAGUGCCCGAAUUUCUAAUCCAAGUAGCAAAGUUCCUGGUAAGCUGAUCAUGAUUUGUAAGGGCAAUAAGUACUAAAAUGGAAACAGUUAAGGACAGAAUUAUAAACUGAGAUCACAGCUUUGUAUGCUGUAGAGAUAUGGCAAUUUUUUAGGUGGCGCCACUCGAAGCCUCCCAGAACUAGAAGAAACUCUCAUUUCAUGCCCAACAUUUUGAAUUGUGUAUCAGCACUUGGACAAACAGAUACCUCAGUAUACCUCAAGCACAGAAAGAAGAAAUGAAAAGAAAAGAACACACUUCAGACAUCAGAAAACGGAUGCAUUGCUGUGAAUUAAUUGAGGCACACUACCAAUCUCCUCACAAGCUUAACGUUUCACAUAUGAUGUCACACUUCAAUGAGCUCUGAAAGAAAACCCCCCAAUUAUGGCGCUUCUAGGAAAGAGAGUAAGCAACAUAACUAGUGGGUCGCUAGCCACUAAGCCUUGUACAAUUCGCUCCUCCAUCGCAAAAAAUGUACGCGAGCUUUUUCCACGAUUUUAAAGAAGAACCAAAGCCUGCAAAACUUGCACGGUCGAACUCACCAGAGAAGGGGUUGAUAAACUAGCCACUCGCCAAAACAUUUCCCUCUUUUCACAGAGCCUUCAAUCUCGAUUUGAUUCUUCCUUCCCUUGAUGUCACUAACAGACAAGAGCUCUAAUGUUGUCAACGGAAACACCAACCAAAAAUAAAUUGAGGGUCUCUGGUGAUCUUCUCUCGAACCUUCUGAUUAUCCCCAGGAGACCUGCUGCUGAGAACACUUCGUGUACUCUACGUCCAACCCAACAGAGACCCUAUUCCCACACACCAAUCCUGCAACCCCGAGUUCUAAAUCUCUGAUCCCUCGCUACUUCCUGAGACAGAACGGUAAAAAAAUCCACUCAACAGAACUGCUGGCGCCGUGACAUCCCUCAUACGAUCUCAAGGCCAGAAUCUGUCCCGACACUCUACGUGUCCGCCUCUCCGUAGACCCAAUUGCAUCACCUUCAUCCCCUUCCCACCACUAUUUCACCUACACCACAAAAUCCGGCCGAAAAACCUAACCGCUCAAGAGAAUGCAACCCCCAAGCACCUGCUCUCGUUACUACGUGUAUCAGAAACCUCAAUAGUCUAUCGCCAUCGUGGGCCGUCGGAUCGCUGCUACUACUCAGAUGCAAUCUCAACCGCUGAUCAGAAUUCUAGGAAUGGAGGGAGGGAACAUUGGGGAACCAGGGGGGGGCGGGCAGGUUGGACGGCAGGUUGGGAACUCAAAAGCCAUUCCUCAUUGGGCCCACAUUGUUCCACAUUGUAUGCCACAAGCUUGCAAUAUUGUCUAGCAGCAAUUGGAGGUAUGUACGCCAAACUUGCAAUAUUGUCUAGCAGCAAAGUUACUCGAGAAACUGGAUGCCGAAAACCGAGACAGUUCAGAACUAAAUAGAGGCAACGUCACUGAGUUAAAGUCACACUUUCUGUGGGUAGCAUCUGGAGAUCUUCCCUUAAGUCCACGUGGAGUGUUGCUCGGAAGCCGAGCCGGAAGACAGGGAAUUGGAACAGCGCGAUUUGUCGAUCGUCAUGGAACUCAUGUACAAGAGUUUGUACGCAUUGCUGCAUAGAGACUUGAGGAAACCCCCGUUCUCUAUUGGACAAGCCGUCGACCUCAUGCUGGAAAUCGCCGAAGAUUUGAGGUACCUCCACAGCAGAAACUUGAUUCAUCGUGGCCUCAAGUCAUUGAACAUUCUAGUCCAAUUCACCGAAAAGGAUAGAGCGAAAAUUGCUGAAAUUGCUGAAAUUGCUGAAAAAUGCUAAAUCACCGAAACGACUCAGUUCGUUGCCAAAAUUGCUGACUUUGGGCUGUCGAAGGUGAAAAAUGCAAGCACUAUGAGGGGCCAUUUGACACCGAAAUUGGGCAUCACAAAUGGAUGGCUCCGGAGACUCCAGAUUCGACUUCGUUGGAUGGAGCACCGUCGGAUCGCUUCCACCCAAAGAAACUUGAUGUGUACAGCUUCGCCAUCGUCUGCUACGAAAUUCUCACUGGAGACGAACCAUUCGCAGAUGUGCUCAAGACGGAGGUCCUCGCUCGCGUCAAGGCUGGGUUGCGGCCGAAUCUGCCAGACGAAAUCCCUGGACGACUGGCCGUCCUUAUCCAAGAAUGCUGGAACGAGGACCUUUUGCUACGCCCGGACUUCGCUGCAAUCUGCACGGAGCUCAGAUUCAUCAAAGGCCUUCUCUUGCAAGGUAUUUUCACUCAUUUGCCUCGCUUCUAGCUCUAAAGUAACUACACGUAUUUCUAACACUUAAAGAAUUGAGUAUGUUUCUUAUUGCCAGAGCAGCUAAAAGAAAUCUUGUCAGCAAUUACAAGGAGAUGCUAGUGUAACUCAGCAUGCACUAUUAGUUUGCCAUUCCCUUCCAAGAGGUGGAGUAGACGGGGUAAUUCUCUCAAGCCUAGACAAAAUCUUUUGAAUAAAAAGUUAAACAAACUAACAAGUCAAUCCAAUCGCAUAUCUAUUACAUCUAUUAGAGUCUAUGAAAAUCCAUCUUAUAUUUCAUGUCGCUCUUUUAGAGCCAUAUAAGACAAUGAAUAUCUUUAGAAGAAGAUAAAUACUACCUCUUCCUAUAGAAGUUGAUAAUAAUCAAGAAUUCAAGGUAGAACAAGUUUUAGACUCAAGACAGCGUUGACAUAGGUUAGAAUAUCUUAUUUAUUGGCACAAAUAUAAUAUUUGUGAACGAGGCGAAAUCGGAAAAAAAUAUCCUUUCAUCGGGCUCCAUGUGAACUUAGAUAAAACUGAACCCCGUGGUGGCAUGGAAAACACGGCAACUUAUUCCUAAAGUUGUCUAGGGCGGUUUUGCUUGGGAGAGGUGGGAUCUAAGAACCUGAUUGGAACAAGACUUAGUCUUGGCCCUAUCUUGGAUACUCUUUCCUUGGGUAAUGUUCUCCUCUGCAUUCUCCGUUGUUUCCCCCUUGAUAUCAUUGUCAUCUUUUUGUGUAAUUUAUCUACUAAUUAAGAAUGUUCAAAUAGUCGUCUUCAUACGUAGUAGCUACACGUAUCCCUUGCGUUUAUUUUUUAAACCUAGGUGGAAAAAGAUGUUGAGUAUGGUUUCUAAAUUUUUUUAUGUUUUUGUUCUUUUUUUAUCUUUUUUUUUUUUUUUUUUUUUAAAUAACAAUGGAUGAAAGAGUAAACUACUUAGCUUCAUGUUCAAUAAUGGAUUUUUUGAGUGCAAUAUUUGUGGGAAUAAUCGGAAUGUAAUUUACAAGGCCCACACAAGAAUCAAGUGUCACAAAUACUUCAAAACUUCUUACCAAUGGAUGGAUCAUUGUGUGAAAAAACAUAAAAGAAAAGUAUACGAAUAUUUAAAAUGUUGUUUAUGCAUACAUAAUCUGAUUUGAACAUGUGUUGUUUGAUAUUAAAAAUAAUAUAGCAUAAAUAUGAUUAUUUUGAUGUCUUUUGAAAAGUUAACAUUACUUGAUGCUUAAAAAUAUUUUCGUAUAUUAUUUUUAUAAUUUUAAUUUAAUUAAAGAUAAUAAUAUGUAUUUAUUAUAUUAUAAAAUUAAUUAAAUAUUUCAAAUAUAAAAAAUAGAUUAAAUAUUUAAUCUUGUAUAUAAUCUAUAUUAAAGAAAAUCUACAAUCUUAAAAAUUACAUCAAAUUUCUAAAAUUUUCAAAUACUUUUGUAGUCUUGGCAUUUAAAAUUUUAUAUUUUUUUAUUGCGUUCACACCAAGCUAGAUGAAAGGAUUUUUUUCCACUAUUGUAUGGGUGUAAGCCAUUGUUUAGGGCAUAUUGAUGUAAAUUGACUACAUAUUGAUAUGAGUUGAAAAAAUAUGUUCCAGUUAUAGCCAAUAAAUAAAAAAAAUGUAUUCAAAUUAGUUAUAUAUAUAUAUAUAUAUAUAUAUAUAUAUAUAAUUUACUAAUAAUAAUUUAGCAAUCUUAUGUAACACACUUACUUGUUUCUUUAUAGUACAAAACAUAUAUAAUGCAAAUAAGUUUUACAAAACAUAUCAACUUAAAAAUACAAUAUAUGACACUUUAUUAGCAGCUUUCUUAGCAAAUUAAUGAUGGAUUUUAGAUUGUCAAUAAAACAUAAUUAUAUAAGUUGAAUAUAAUUCUUUUGAAACUCAAUUCAAAUUUAAAAUUUAAAUAAAUAAAAAAUUAAAUAUAAAGAAUUAAAAUGACAUUCAGAUCUCAUUGAUUAUAUUAUAUUAAAAUAUUAAGUCAUUUUAUCUAAAAUAAUUAAAAAAGCUACAAAUACAUCAAACAUAUUUUAAUAAACAACAAACUAUUCAAGUAAAAAUGAUGACUUUGCAACUAAAAUUGAAUUACAUAUAUCAUAAUAUUCCAAAAAUAUAUAUAUAUAUAUAUAUAUAUAUAUUAUAGAAUAUAGAUUUAAUAGAAGACGUGCAAUUCUUUAAAAGUUUAAAAAAUUAGCCAAAGAUAAAGCCAAUGCUAAAGAUGCAUAUAGGUUGGAGAAAUUGGUGGCGUCGAUGUAAGACUACAAGUACUUGGACCCAAGAUUGGCAAGCUAGAAGUAGAGAGCAAGAUAUUAGAUGCUUUGGAGAUCAUGUGCCUAUACACAAUAGAUAAUUCUUUGAAGCAGCCAAGAAUACAAUAAAUUGUGGAUUUGCUAAAAGACAUACAAUCAAAGUUUAAUGGUGCAUCAAUUUAGUUGUUUAGAAUGGAUGUCUUUGUACAUUCAUAUCUAUUUUUUUGGUUGCUACAAGAUGCCAAUUUGUGCAAUUCCAAGCUUUGUAUUUUAUAAGAUUAUUAUCAUACACUAAGAUCUAGUAUUUUUUUUGACUAAUGGAUUGUAGGAAAUGUAUAUUAAUACAUACAUACAUAAAUAUAAAUCCAUCUCAAUCCAUGCGGGUAUAAUAAUAUUAUAACAAUUUAGUUAUUUAUAUAAGAGUUGUAGUCAACAUCUUGCACUCAUAAAUGUUGUAGAGGUACAUAUUAUUAUUUGAUGUAAGGAACUUGAUGGUGCAAGGUUCACAGUGCAAUUAUAUUUGGAUUUGGGAGCUUGUAGAAUAAAUGUAUUAAAAAAAUAGAAAUAUGAAUAAUAAGAGGGUGUAAGUUGCAACAUUGAUUAGUAGUGACUUGGAGGAAUAGAAGAGUGAUGAAUUAGGAAGAGUGUCCAUGUAAAUGCUUAAGAGUUAUUCAAAUAAGCAAAGCUAUAGAUUUGUAUCUAAAGAUAUAAAUAAAGGAUUAAGGCUUAAAAAAAUUGAAGGCAAUGACUUUAGAUUUCAAAUGAUAUUUAUAAAGAGUGCAAAUUGAUUCAAAAUUGAGAUUGUAGAAAGCGCUAAGAGCAAAAAGAGCUUGUAGAUUAUGAUUAUGGAAAGAAUAAUGGCCAAUGCAAUUAGAGAAUUGGAAUGUACAAAUUUAAAAAAUGUAUAUAUAAAGUAAGUCAAGAAGAAAUAAUCUUAGUAAAUAAUUAGAGGUCUCACUUGCUUAUUGCACCAAUAGUCUAGUCAUAGAAUAAUAUCUUGUCAUAAUAUAAAUCAUAGUUUAAUUAUCAACCGGUACAAUUACAAUGUUUAAAUAUCUUAGUUGAUUUGAACAUGUGGUUAGUAAUGACAAGGUCAAAGUUUCAAUCCUUCAUUCUAUCAAGAGUAAUUUUUACCAUCUUUAAAGUCAAAAGAUUUUUGAAAAUUUUUUACAAAUAACUUUUUUUUCUUAGUCCAAAUUUUGGUAUUCAUUUUUAAUACAUUCAAAUUAUUAAGCAUUGUCAUAAUAUAACACGACUAAUAGGUGAAAGAAUGUAGAAAUUCUUAUAAUAUAAGAAUUUUUAGUUCAAAGUAUUAGAGCAAAUUAUCUUAGAAAUAUAGUUAAUAGUCAAAAGGGUAGUAAAACUAAAAAGUAUCAAUAUUGCCUUUUACAAAAUGGCCUUCUAUUUACUUUGUUGGAUCAUAAAUAAAGUAAAAUAAAAUAGAUUAGGAAAAUAAAGAAUAUGAAUAUUUAUAAGAGGAAGUUAGGAUUUGAUUUUAAUAAAAAUUAACUCAAAAAAGAAAAAAAUUGAUAUCCGAGGAGAGCCGGUUAUCAAUUUGGAUCAAAAUCAGACCCCAAGGCACAAAACUGAGCACCUACGGUAACUUCGGGAUAUUUUGGCAAAUAAAAGAGUGGAAUUUGAUAAUAGAAUAGAUAAGGUUUCUAUGAGCAUUAUUUUUGUAUGAUUUGGAUUUGUAAUGACUUUGUAAGGACUUUACAAAUUUAAGUUUGUUUUAGAUGAGUUGGAUUUUUGUAAAAUAAAAUAGGAUUGACGUUUUGGAUGAUUAUGAGAGUUCUAUAACAGAUCUAUAGGUGAAAUUUUGUGGAUUAAUGGUUAUAGUUGUGUUUAAUAUGUAUUAUAUAUUUUAGCUUGAUCUAAUAGUUGAAUUGAAGGUUAUUGAAGUUUAAGUGGAUCAAGGUCUCAGAAAGUAGAAUUUUAGGUUUAAUAAGAGUUUUUAAGAUUUCUUGCUAUCUACAAGUUGGAUUGGAGUGAAAUUUGUGUGUGAAGAUAUUAGACUUGUUUUCAUAUAUAUAUAAGAAUUUUGAAAUCAAUUGAAUGGUGAAAAGGAGAGAUAUUGGCUAUGGGAGAUUGGCAUCAAGGUUGGAGAAGGAGGCCAACCAAUACCCGAGCAUGUUUUUGAGGUUAUCAUCUAUUUGGUAAUUUCAAUCCGGUUAGGAUUUGAUUUAAGAUUUAGGAUUUGAUUAGGGAGAAAACUUGAUAAGGUUUUGAUAAACAUUGAUUUUGGGUGAUUUGAAUUUGUAUUGACUUUGUAAGAGCUUUGCAAAGUUAGGGUUUGUUUUGGGUGACUCUAGAUUUGUGAAAUAAAAUGGGAGAUAUUUUUUAGAGAAUUCCAUAAGUUUGGCAAUAGAUCUAUGGAUGAAAUUUUUAGGGUUUUUAGGUAUAUAUGUGUUUAAUAUAUUUUGUAAUUUUAAGGUUGAUCAAAGGGUUGGAUUGAGGGUUAUUGAGGUUUAAAUGGGUAAAGAUCUUGGAAAAUAGAGUUUUAUAUUUAGUAAGGGUUUUUAAGAUUUUUUACAAUCUACUAAUUGGAUUAGAGUGAAAGUUAUUUGUGUGGGUAGUAAACUUGUUUCCUUAUGUAUGUGAAAAUUUGGAGAUCAAUUGAAUAGUUCAAUAAGGAGAUAUUGGCAUUGGAAAUUCAACAUUCAAAUUGGAGAAAGAGGCUGGCCAUCAUCCAAGCAGAUUUUAGAAUUGAUCUUCUUUUUGAUGAGUUAGAUCUUUUUCAAAAAAAAUUUACUUGUUUUCAACCUAAUUGUUAAGAGGUUUGAAAAAUUUGAGUUUAAAUCAACAGUUCAUUCAUUAAUUAUUGAGGUUUAAAUCUACUAUAGGAAUUACUUGAGAUUAUUUAGGAUUUGGUUAGGAUUUGUUUAAGGUUCGAUUAGGAUUUGAUUAAGAUUUGGUUAGGAUUUAACUAGAGUUUGGUUAGGAUUUUAGUAGGAUUUUAUUAGGAUUUGAUUAGGAUUUGGUUAGAAUUUCUUUAGAAUUUGACUAAGAUUUGGUUAUGAUUUGAUUAAAAUUUGACAAGGAUUUGUUUAGGAUUUGUUUAGGGUUUGAUUAGGAUUUGGUUGGAAUUUGUUUAAGAUUUGACUAAGAUUUAUUUAGGAUUUAUUUAGAAUUUUUUAAAGAUUUGGUUAGGAUUUGUUUAGGAUUUGGUUAGGAUUUACCUAGAAUUUGAUUAGGAUUUAUUUAAGAUUUGAUUAAGGUUUUUUUAGGAUUUGACUAAGAUUUAUUUAAGAUUUUUUUAGGAUUUGAUUAAGAUUUUUUAUAGAAUUUUAUUAGGUUUUACUUAAGAUUUAAUUAAGAUUUAUAUUUUUAAUAUUUUAUUUAGAUUUCUAUUUUACUAUAUUUUAGUAUUUCUAUGUUAUUUUUUAUGAUUUUUUUAAAAGGUCUCCAGAAAUUCUUUAUAUUUUUUUAUAUAUUUUUUAAAAUUUUAAUUUAAUUUGAUCGAUGUUUGAUUAUAUUUGCUAAUCUUUAAUUGUAAUUUGUUUCAUAAUCUAUUAGAGUGUCACGGACACAAAAUACAGACUUGAAAUCUAACAAGAAGUUCAAGAAGAAGUGACAGAACUAGAUUAAACAGAUGAGUACAAGAACAACACCAGAAAUGUGAGCUAGAACUCUAAGAGAUGUGUUGUCGAGACUGAAGAACCCUUCAGCCUCGACUCCUAUAUAUACUACUGAAUAGGAAGCUUCUCGAGCUACUUCCGCUAACUAGGACGCUUCUCCAAUAACUUCUACUAAUUAGGAAACUUCUUGAGCAACUUCCUAGAAUCUAUCAGAAUAUUCUAGAACCUUCUAAGAGAAUCUUUAGGGAAUAUUCUAAGAAUCUUCUAGAACCUUCUAAAGAAAUCUUUAGAGAAUCUUUAGAGAAUAUUCUAGAAGAAUAUUCGAAGAAUCUUCUAAUGUAUGUCCAUGACAUCACCUCCUCUUCUAACUUCGAGGUCUCCGAGAAGCAAUGUUGUUAUCAGUCAAUACCAACGCAAGAAAAUGAAAAUCUGUCGCAUCACAUCCGCUAUGAAUUCCAAUUGUUGUUCGUGAGGCAAAUGAUUCAUCGGCCCUUGGAGCCAACGGUAGUGACCAACACCUUCAACCUCUGACCAAGCGUGGACUUCUGUGUCUUCAUUGUGAAACUGUCCUCCAAACACACCUUCUGGCUGACCGUCGUAGGCAGGCUCGACCUCAAAUACAAUUACUAGCGAUCUGUUGCUCGGUAUCCUUCGACGUCGUCGUGGUGCAGGCGGUUCUUCAUCUCGCGGUCGUCUUCGUGAGCUAGUCGCUUGAGAUGACAUAACAAGUGUAGUAUCUUGACUAUCCAUGUCCAAAGGCUAAAAUGAUGAGAGCAAACUAUAGUUGCUAACAAAGUUCUACACUAUCGAACUAUGGGUUUUGGAGGUGCCCUCCCCCCUUUUUAUGCUACUUGAUGAGCAAGCUUCAGCAAGAAGCUAUCGUUGAAUCGGCUUAGGUUUAUGAGGAUAUCGUUGAUGAAAUUCUUGUACCUUUUUUGGUGCAUUGGCAAGAUUUUCGGCACGCUCCCACGUUCGUUCAUUGAUGUCGUAUCCACUCCAAUGCACUAAAUACUCCAAUUUUCUCCUAUUACGCCGUGAAUCCAGUACCUUUUCCACCUCGUAUUCCUCAUGGUUUUUAAUUUCGAUACUUGGUGGCGGACUUUGUACUCUUUGGGGAAAAGCUGACUCUCGAUAAGGUUCCAACAAAGACACAUGAAAGACUGGAUGUACCUUUAUAGUAGCUGGUAACUCCAGACGAUAUGCCACCGGAUUGAUCUACUUCUCGAUAACAAAUGGCCCUAAUCUCCGAUAGUCCAAUUUGUCACAUGGCCGCUUGGGCUUGAUAUUCCGUCGAAGAAGCCAUACUUUACUUCCAACUUUAAAAGUAGGCGCCUCAUUUCGAUAUUUAUCUGCAGAUGCCUUGUAACUCUCUUGGGCAGAUUGCAAUUGAAGCUUCAACGUCGCUUGAAGCUCCGAUAGUUGCUUCACAAAUCCUUCAGCUACUGGGUUGUUAUUUGCUGAAGAACUCAAUAAAUCGAACUUGGGGUGGUAUCCGUAGUUGGAGAAGAAUGGUGUUUAUUGAGUUGACGCAUAAAGAGUGUUGUUGUAUGCGAACUCAGCAAGCGGUAGAUAUGCAGUCCAAUCAUCUUGUUGAUAGUUGAUGCUGCAUCGUAAAUAUUGCUCCAAAACUUGAUUCACCCGCUCCGUUUGACCGUCAGUUUGAGGAUGAAAAGCCGAAGAGAGCUUAAUAUCCACCUUCAAUAUCUCAAAGAGGGACCUCCAAAACUUGGAUACAAACUGAGUACCUCGAUCCGACACGAUAUCAUCUGGUAGGCCAUGAUAACGAUAUAUGUUAUCAAGAAAGAGUCUUGCGGUGUCUUCACUUGACGAUGUUUUCUUGCAAGGCACGAAAUGUGCCAUCUUUGUAAAUCGAUCCACCACAACAAAGAUGCUGUCAAAUGAAUUCGAUGGCAGUAGGUCCAUAAUGAAGUCCAUAGAAACUGAAGACCAUGGUCGGUGCGGAAUAGGCAAUGGCUGGAGAAGUCCAUACGGACGAUGUCGAGGGAUCUUGGAUCUUGAACAAACAUCACAAGAAAGGACAAAUUCCUUCACAUCCUUCCACAUUUGGGGCCACCAAAAAUCUCGUGAAAUGAGCUCCAAAGUCUUGUUGAAUCCAAAAUGUCCCGCAGUUGGAAAGUCGUGGCGAGAUUGAAGUACUUGGAGUCGAGUUGGUCCUUUCGGGAUAUACAACCGCUCUUCAAAAUACAGAAGAUCUCCCUCCACCUUAAACUUGUCAUUAUCGACACGUUGUUUGAUGUCAAGAGCUAUAGAAUCCUCAAUGGUCGCAGUACGUACUUCGUUGAGGAAGCCGUCAUCGAUAGUUGCAACAGUAGCAAAAAUCCUGAAUUUUUCUGGUUUCAACAAUGUUAUACAUUGUUGAUCAAACGCUGCUUCUGCAGCCUUUGGCGCAAGAUACGAUCUCCUUGAUAAUGCGUCAGAUAAUCCUUGCUGUUUUCCAGGGCGGUAGGUGAUAAUAAAGUCAAAUCGUGAUAGAGACAUAUUCCAUCGAGCUUGACGACGAUUCAAAAUUCGAGCUGUCAUGAAGUACUCCAAAUUCUUGUGGUCCGUAUAAACAGUCACUGGAUGUGCAGCUCCUUCCAGGAAGUGACGCCACUCUUGGAAGGCAUCCACUAUAGCAAGCAGCUCUUUGUCGUGGAUCUCGUAGUUGAUCUCAGCAGCAGAGAACUUCCGUGAAUAGAACGCAACUGGGUGAAGCUUCUUGUCUAUGCCCAUUUGUGAAAGCACAGCUCCCAAAGCAAAAUCUGAAGCAUCGGUCUCUAAAUAGAAAGCCUUUGCAAAGUCAGGGUGUACCAAGAUUGGAGCCGUAGUGAAUGCCGUCUUAAGAUCUUGAAAUGCUUUUGCUGCUUGUGAUCCCCAUUCGAGCUUGUCUUUGCUUGUUAGACGCGUGAGUGGUGCAGCAACUUGAGAAUAAUUCUUGAUGAAGAUCCAAUAGAAGUUAGAAAAUCCAAGAAAACACUGAACAUCUCUAAUCGUCUUCGGAACUUCCCAAGAUAUAAUUGCUUCUACCUUUUUUGGAUCCAUCUUCAAGCCCUCUGUAGUCGCAAUGAAACCCAAAAAUUCCAUCUCAUUCUGGUGAAAUUGACACUUCUCCAACUUGGCAUAGAGUCCUCGUUCGCAUAGUUUUUCAAGAACCAAACAAACGUGCUUCUCAUGUUCUUCUUCAUUCUUGGAAAAUAUCAAAAUAUCAUCCAGAUAGAUGACAACAAAGUCAUCGAGGUACUCCCGAAAGAUGUCGUUCAUCAUAUGCUGAAAGACCGCUGGAGCAUUGGUAAGACCAAAAGGCAUGACAUUGUACUCAAAAUGGCCAUACCUUGUACGAAAGGCUAUCUUCCAUUCAUCUCCUUCUUUGAUUCGCACAAGGUUGUGGGCUCCUCUUAAAUCAAUCUUUGUAAAAAUCCUUGCACGUCCAAGUUGAUCUAAGAGGCCGGAGAUCAAAGGUAAGGGAUAGCGAUUUUUCUUGGUCACCUUGUUGAGUCCUCGGUAGUCCACGCACAUCCGCAGUGAGCCAUCCUUUAUCUUCACGAAUAAGAUUGGUGCUCCAGCUGGCGACUUUGAAUGUCGAAUAAAAUUCUUGGCUAGAUUCUCAUCGAUGUACUUCCGCAAUUCUGCCAACUCCGUCUGCGAUAGGUUGUAUAUUGGACCAAAAGGUGGUUGCGCUCCUUCCUCUAAGUCUAUGGCGCAAUCAUAUGGUCGAUGUUCCGACAGUAUAUCGGCGUUUUUCUUCUGAAACACGUCUUCAAAAUCCCUAUAUUGCUCUGGUAUAUUCGAUGUUGAGAUAUUUUCGCCGCUAGUUGGAGCUGCAUAAAUGACAAAUGGUGCGCCUUCCUUAGACGAUCUUAGGAACGCUCUCCCUCCAAUAAACAUGGAUUUCUUCAUGUAGGUUCUACCAACAGGUUUAUUAUUAUUUUUUUCAGGAAAUGUUAUCCUUCGUAGCCUCCAAUCAAUGGACGGAUUAUGAUCUUCUAACCAAGAAAGACCAAGGAUAACAGGGCUUGAUGGGGUUCUAAUAAUAUUAAAAAUAACGUGACUACUAUGGUCCUUAAACACCACUUCUAUAGGUUCUGAUUCGUGGGUAACGUUGCCUGACAAUAAGGGUCGUCCAUCUAUCACCUCUACGUGAACAGGUUUGGACUUCUGUACUAAACGGAUCUUGUGGCGUUUAGCAAACUCUUCAUCUAAAAAACAAGUAGAUGCCCCUGAAUCCAAUAAAGCUAAAGUUUUUUGUUUUUGAGGGCCUAAAAACAAAGGAAUUAUAAAACAACGGGCAGGUUGGACAGAGAAGGAGGAACCUGAUUGUUGUCGUGAUAUUAGAUUGUCCAGCCGCACGGUUCCUACUGUGGCUGGGCAUCGUCGUUUUCCGGAAUCAUCGCACUUCUAGUCUUGACAGGGUGCCAAUUUUGCUUCUUUGGGCAAUUUCCAACCUUGUGACCUUCUCCACAGUACAAACAUAACCCUUCCUCCAUACGCCGUUUCUUCUCUGUUGGAGUAAGAGAUCGGACACGCGCCGUGUCGAUUUGCAUGUCUGUUGCCUCCGAAUGUGAGUUUAAGCUAUUUGCAGACAUAGUCACGUCGUAACGAGUCAUUUGGUAUCUUGGACGUUGGUCUUGGCGACGCUGGAAUAGGCGGUUGUCACACUUUACAGCUUGGCUAAUAGCUUUGUUGAGCGUUUGAGGAUCAGGAAGAGAUAACAGCGAGUCCUUCACAUCAUCCUUCAAUCCCCAAUAAAACUGACUCACCAACGCCUCUUCACCCCAAUUAAUGUCACUUGCCAAUUGUCUGAAAUCCGAGGCAUAGACUGAUGCAGAGCGUGUUCCUUGUCGUAGCGAUCGGAUCUUUGUUGUAGCCCAUCGAACUUUAUCAUGCUCGCCAAAUGCUUCUGCAAACGCCUCCAAGAACGUUUCAAAGUUGCUCAGGAUUGGCGAUUGCUUCUCGAACAAGGGAGUAAACCAAGACAGAGCUUGUGCUGUAAGCAAGGUUCCAACAAGCCCAACACGCGCUUCUUCCGUCGGAUAACGUUCGGGCUGUAAAAUUGUUAUCAACUUGAUUUGGUUGACAAAACCUCGAAACUUGGAACGAAUUCCAUCAAACUUAUCCGGAAGACUAACUCGAGGCUCCUUUCGUUGUAGGACUACUCGAUCUUGUUGAAAUGGAGGUAGAACUGCUUCUUCUGGCACAGAAGUUUGAGGCUGAUAUGCUUUAGAUGGCGCUAUCCCAGAUGCUCCAUUGUUAUGGAGUCCUACCAUGACUCCUUCGAUCUCUGUUGUCCUAUGUGACAACGAGGCAAGAGCAUUUAUGAUGGCAUCUAGUUUGGAUUCCAAACUUUCAGCCAUUUUAACGUCUUAACCUUCGGCUAACCUUCAAAAAGAAGAAAAAAGAGUUUUGACAAGAGGACAAUAUUGGUUCAGAGGAGAGUACUCCGCAACCUCUAAAACGCCUUAAGACUCCAAGAUGAGGGGUAAUCCACUCUCUCCAAGAAGAAUAAGGCUCCAAUAUUGAGAAAGAAGAGAUAUCAGUUUAGAGGAGGAUAAUCCGCAACCUCUAAAACACUAGCACACCUUCAAGAAGAGGGGUAAUCCACUCUCUAACAAGAAGGAACUAGCUCUGAUAUCAGUGAAAAUGCAGUCUCGACAAACUGUCACGGACACAAAAUACAGACUUGAAAUCUAACAAGAAGUUCAAGAAGAAGUGACAGAACUAGAUUAAACAGAUGAGUACAAGAACAACACCAGAAAGGUGAGCUAGAACUCCAAGAGAUGUGUUGUCGAGACUGAAGAACCCUUCAGCCUCGACUCCUAUAUAUACUACUGAAUAGGAAGCUUCUCGAGCUACUUCCGCUAACUAGGACGCUUCUCCAGCAACUUCUACUAAUUAGGAAACUUCUCGAGCAACUUCCUAGAAUCUAUCAGAAUAUUCUAGAACCUUCUAAGAGAAUCUUUAGGGAAUAUUCUAAGAAUCUUCUAGAACCUUCUAAAGGAAUCUUUAGAGAAUCUUUAGUGAAUAUUCUAGAAGAAUAUUCGAAGAAUCUUCCAAUGUAUGUCCAUGACAUAGAGUUGUGAAGACUUAUUGUUGCAAUUUUCCUUUUAUCUUCCACAGCUAGUUGCCUAGUGCAUUCUCAAGCCAAAUCCCAUGUAAUAUGACAAUGUGAAGUCUGCUUGAGAAUGUAUUGGAUAUGUAGCUGUAGAAGGAAAAAUAGAACUUCCAAUAAGAUGAUCCUAAAAAUUCUAAUAGAAUCUUAAACAAAGUUUAAUUAAAUUAUUAUAAUACUAAUUAAUAUUUAAUUAUAUCCAAAAGAAGUCUCAAAAUUUUACAAAAGAAAUAUAAAGAAAUUAUAAAUUAAUUUUAAUGAAAUACAUGUAAUAAAAAAUAUUAAAAAAAUAUUAAAAAUAAAAUUUUUAAUUGAAUCGUUAUACAAUCCUCAACAAAUUCUAAUAAAAUUCUAAAUAAAUUCCAAUCAAACCUUAUUAAAAUCUUAAAUCUCAAAUAAAUCAUAAUCAAAUUCUUAAUAAAUUUUAAUAAAAUUCUAAAAAAACCUUAAUCAAAUACUAAAAAAACCUUAACCAAAUUCUAGAAAAAUCAUAAUCAAAUCCUAACAAAAUCCUAAAUCCAAAUUAUCGGCCAAAUCUUAAUCAAAUCCUAAAUUCAAAUCUUAAGCCAAACCCUAAUGAAAUCCUAAAUCCUAAAUAAAUCCUAAAUAAAUCCUAUGCCUUAGACCAAAUCCCAAUGAAAUUCCAAAUCUUGAUCAAAUCCUAAUAAAUUUUAAAUAAAAACUAAUCAUAUUUUAGAUAAAUUCUAAUUAAAUUUUUAAAAAAAUUCUAAAUCCUAAUCCUAAAUCGAAUCCUAAUAAAAUCCUAAAUUCUAAAUAAUUCCAAAAAAUUCCCAAGUAAUUUUCAAUCAAUUAUUAUAGCUAUUUUAAACCUCAAUAAAUAUCAAUUCAAUUAUAGAUCUUAACUAAAAUUUCACUUAAACUUUUAUUUUAUACUCUGAUUGAUAAAAUACAAUUAGAUUGGUAGUUAAUCCUAAGUUUUAUUUUUCUACUAAAUAUUUUGAUAUUAAAUAUCAUAUAAUUUGAGAGAAAGUUAAAAUAGAAUUCUAAAAUAAAUUAUAUAUUUAUUAAUAAAAAUAUAAUUGAUAUUUUUAUAAAAACUUUGACUCUUGAUAAAUUCAAGACAUUGCAUGCUUUGCUAACUCUACACUCAAACUUAUGCUUCACUUUUCUAUUAAAGUAGAGAAAUUAAAACAUAUUGUAAUAUCAAUAGAAAAAUUAUUAUUUAGUAGGAAUUUAAUGAAUAAUGUGUUACUAGUAAGAAAUAAGAACUUUUCAUUGAUAUAUAUAAGAUUUGAAUUGUAAUAAAGUAUUAUUAUUUUUGAAUAUUCUUGGUGUAGUAUUAUAUAAAAACAAUAGAUUAUAGGCCUACGCUUUGUUGUUUUGUAAUUUUUUUUUAGUGCUGAAUUAGAAUGUUAAUUAAGAUUAAAAAGCUAGAUUUUGAUUAAUUCAGUUGCUUUAUUAUGUUUUAUUUUUAAGUAAGUAGUAUCAAGAAAGUAUUAUCAAAGUGAUUGACUUCUUUGAAAGCAAUUGAUUAAGUGAUUAGAAUAAUUGAAUGGCUAAUUGAGUAUUUAGUAUUCAAUAUACUUUUCAAGUUUUUCAAUCAUAGUUUUUAGAAAAAUUUUAGUGCUUAUUUGUUCUUUCAAAAAAUUUCUUGAUUUUCUUGAACUUCUUAAUUUUACAUGCAUUAUAUUUUUAAACUUCCUAUUCAUUUUUUUAUUUCUUACAAUUCAAUCACCUAAUAAUUUGAUGAUAAUAUCGAUCAAUAAAGAUUUAAUUGAAAUUCAAUAUUUUAAUAGUUCUAAGUUUUACAUAUAGAAGUGGUAGAUUAAGAAUCUAUUUUGAGCAAAAAGAUACAUUACUUAUGUUGAUGGCAUAAGGUAGAAGAAAAUAGGAAAUGUACAAUGGAUAAAAGCAUAUUAUAUUGCUUAUAUUCUAUUAAUUUCUUCCAUUGAUCAAUAGUUUCUUGUGCCUCUAACAAGUUGCAAAACUACACAAUAAGUUUAGAGCAAAUUAUUAAAGGAGUAUGAAUUUAAAAAAAAUGCCAAUGUUUAUGAAUUUAUGCAAUAAUUCUUUGAUGUAAGAAUUCAACAUGACCAAUCCAUUUUUAGUUUCAAAGCUCAACUAAAACUUAUUAUAAGUGAGCUAAAAGAUUUGGGUGAUACUACAUUUAUGAAUUUUUGCAUGAUAUCUAAACUUACUUUGAACCUUGUGAUUGUCAUUUUACUUAUUUUACAAUUCCUUCCAGAAUAAACUUGUAUAGGGGAAUUCGAACACAGGGAAAGACUAAGCGUAUGAGUUUUACUUGCUAGUGUCAAACAAUUAACUAUAUUUCAAACCACUAAAACACUAAGAAAUACUACAAUGCUUCUUCCCAGUAACAAUAUUCCUUCAUCAACUGAUAACCACAAUGUGCAACCCUACACUCUCAAAAGACUGCUCAAAACUCAAUAAAUUCCAUCCAACACUAUGAAUAACAAACUUCACUCCAACCAAUCUGAAUUCACAGAAUUCCUGUAAUCACAGACUUCCUCUGUCAAAAUACACAUAUACAACUCUCAAUAAACAACAAUCAUAAUCUUCCAUCUAUAAUCAAUCUUCCAAUAACUUUUCAUAUAAUUCAAUCACUCAAUACUCCAAUUACAUAAUCAAUAACUCACAAAUCAAUCUCUGAUUUAUUCCACAAAUUCACUUCUCAGUAUUCAGAAACUAUCUAUUACUCUUCAACAAUAAAGAAAAAAAAUAAAUAAAUAAAUAAAUAAAGAAGAAGCACCAAGCUUAAUCUUGGCUCAUGAUUAUCACAGUCUGGUCUCCCAACAAACUUCUACAACUCCUAUAUAAUUGCUAUUGAUUUCUAGAUUCUAACCGUAAUCCUAUAAUAACUACUUUUAAUAAUUGAAUCAAUCAUCCAUCCUCCUAAAAUGACUAUUCUAUGGAUUAUUAAUCUAUUUUACCAAUAUCUUACAAAAACAAACUAAUAUCUAUUCUACAUAGCCCCACUCUUAUCUGUGCAGCAUCCUCGCAAACACACAAUGGAUACCUAUCUAAAAACUACUUAACAAAACUCUAUAAAUUUACUAGUUCCUCUGGCCCAUCCAAUUAAUCAUUUGCUGCAUUAUUGAAUGUAGGUUCUACCGAUUUUGGUUCUAAAUUCAAAUUUUCGUCCUCUACCAAUCCAUCUAUCGUCUCCUUCUUCAAUUGGUUUGAUAGAUCUUCAUUAUACUCACCCAAUUCAUGGACUUGAGCCUCCAGUUUUAAGAUCUAGGUAUCACGGAGUUCCAACUGAUGCUGCUCCUGACUCAUCCAUUCUAGAACAUCUUCAAUUGACACUUGAGACUAGCUUCUCACUGUUAACUCUUCCGUCAAUUUUGUCACCUAGGCUUGUAAAACUUUGAUUUCGGAUCUCAACUUCUCCGUUUUGCUUCUAGAUUGGUCAUUCAAUGCUUCUUUCUCUUUCGUCAAUAACUCUGCCUUGUCUCCUUCCACUUGCAACUGGCAUUUGAGUUUUUCCCAUUCAAAAUCUCAUGUCUUGUAAUUCUGGAUCAAUUCAUCUUGUUGUCCUUCCACAAUCCAUCAAAUGUGUUCUUUUUCUUUUGUCCAAGCUUCUUGUUUCUUUAAAAAUCUCCUCUUCAAUGUCAACUUGGAUUCCUCAUUCUCUUAUAGUAUCUGUUCUUUCUCUAUGAUUUUUGUUUUGUUUGUUUCUUUGUUUGUUUGUUUGUUUGUUUUUUUUAUUUUUAUUUUUAUUUCGGUUCUACUCUGAUAUCACCUUCUUGCUGUCUUCUUUGUCUGUAGUUCUCUUUGCACUUUCAAUUGCGAUGACGCUCCCUCUCUCAAGUGCUUAAUUAAAACUACUACUCUCAAAAAUACAAGAAACACAAGAAAUGGUACUCCAACCAAUCCAAAACAACACCACAUAAUGACUUUAAUUGGUGCCCUACUCCUAUUCUUUUACUACCUGGUGAUAAAAACAGCAGGUUACGUAUACAGUUCGUGAAAGAUAAAGGAAAGUAAUCUUUCUUGGUGGCCACAUUAAGUUUCCAAAAAUCCUGAAAAAUUCGGAUUUUUUCGUUCUUUUUCGGCACCAUCACGAUUGCAAAAACCCACUCACUAUUUGGUAUCGGGUAAAUAAAACCAACCGCAAGAAGCUUGUCCAAUUCCUCCUUCACCAUGAGGGAAUAUUUAGGAUUAAGGCAAUGUUGACUUUGCUGUAUCGGUUUAGCAUUCUCUUCUAAAAUGAUACGAUGUUCACAAGCUUCACUGAGGAUACCUUUUAGAUCAUCAUAAGACCAAGCAAAAGUGGAUUUAUGAUACAAGAAAAAUUCUAUCCAAUAGGUCAACUCUUGGUCCUUAAUACCUUCGUAGACCUUAAUUGUCCAUGGCUCUGCCGUGGUCACCAAGUUAAUAGUUUGACAUAAAGGUGCAAUGGCGAUGUUUUGUUUCAACUCUCAUGCUGGUUGAAAAUCAGUCGAUAAGUCCGACAUGUGUGAAGUACUGAAUCCUGUGUCCAAGGCACUAAUAUGAUGCACAUCAUACUUGGUCAUCUAAUCAAUACUAACAUACUCAAAGUUUUCUGAAUCCAUCGGGUAUAUCAAAUACUCCUCCAAACCUCCAUAUUGGUACACCACUCCAGGGUAUUGCGCUGCUUCCACAGACGCCUCCAUAAUCAGUGUGAUUGCAUCAUCAUUGGAACUAAGCUCAUCAUCCGACGUCAAUUCACAUGUUGGCAAUUGAGACUCCCUGUGAUAGCGUACUGGGUACAUUUAUAAUAUCAUUUUGUCACUGCCCUUGCCAACUGUCAAAGUACCCUGACCUCAAUCGUUCUUGGCCUUUGCAUGAUAAAGCCAAGGUCAUCACAAUAAAAUUGGAUACGAUAAAGUUGAAUGUUGUAGCCAAAAGAUGAUAUAGUCAAUUACAUAUGCAAUACCAGUAAUUAUAGUUUGAACACUCCGUAAAAUAUCUAUUGGUUUAAUCCGGCUCUGAUCUGUCAUCCGUAAUACCAAUGUCGUGGAUACUAAGUAUUCCAAAUCUAAAGCAUCCAUUGUAUCAGUGUUCAUUAAAUUGACACUGGAACCACCAUCCACCUGAACACCCAAGAUCAUAACACCAUCAAUCGAAACAUCGAUGGUAAGUGCACCUGGGUCAAGGUUCAAACUGACUUCACAAACUUCCUUAUUACGUUUCUUAUGCCAUGUUAACGAUGAAUUUAAUAUAGAACGGCAUUCUAGUACGACCGCUAGAAGUUGCUUCAUAGAAAUAAAAGGCCGAAUAGCAUCCAAAUCCUUCAAUAUGUCAUAGGGUUCCAUAUUUACAAUAAUGUCCAAUGUCCUCUUUUUUUUCAUUGGUUGGAGUUUAACUCCUUGAGGUACGAUAUUCUUCCGCCCUAGAUUUGGAAUUGGAACAACAGAUGGAGCUUCCUUGGAAUUUACACCUCUUAGAGAAUCUUUCAAUGGAAAUGAUGUUUUUUUAAAUGGCAUAGAGAACAAAAUAGCUUGAAACGGAAUCGAAGCCUCCGUAAUUGGUACCUCAUUGGGUAGCCCAACCGAGUCAGGUCUCAUAUUGGAUAAGAAGCCCGUAAUAGGACCUGGAUUAGAUGUCCCCAUAAUUGGGUCAAAUUGGCCCUUCACUUUAAGAUUACUCAAAUGUUGAAUUGAUCCUUUCUCUUUUUGUUGACUCCUGGUAAGAACGGCUUAGACACAUUCCAUCCGAUUUAUCAAAGAAUCUUGAGGAUCUUAAUUUAUCUCCUCUAUUUUUCCUUGAUUUUGGAUCUAUUGAUCCCGAUUAUUGAAAUUGAACAGAGCAUUACAUUGCUGAUAAGUAUGCCUCGACUGCUUGCAAUUCCCACAAACUGGCACAUAAUGGUCACUAGCUCUGGGAUUGAGACAUUCACUGGCAUAAUGGCCAAUCUGUCUACAACGGAAAUAACGAAGUGGUCUUCUUGCACCCCCAUCUAGCAUAUUGGGUGUCUCCACCGGUAUAUAUUUACUAAGCUUGUUUUAUGUAGGGUUAAAAAAUGAUUCUGGUUAUUCCAUUGGAAUGGAAGAAACUUGGUUCGAUGAUGCCGGUGGAGCAUAUUGCUGAUACCUCUGUUGCUCCUUGUCAUAGUUCUGAGGAUUUGAUGCAAACCCCUGAUUAAAAUUGGAACUUUGAAAGUUAUUGAAUGCUCAAUUUUGUCAAUUAGAUCAAUUUCCAUUCCAUCGAAACGUAUUUUCCGAUUGAACUUGAUUGACGUCCUAGUGAGUUGGUAGGAUCAUGGUCUGAUUAGUAAAUUGUUGUUGCCUUUGCAAAUUCCAACAAUUAGCUGUUAAGUGCUUUCCUCUACAAAAUAUACAUUGAUCCAUCAUUUGUCAAGGUGAAAGGCAUUCUGUUACCAAAUGACCGUGGCCCUUACAAUUACUGCACCAAACAUUGGUUGUAGUAUUGAUAGGCUUUUACCUCUUCUCCUUAUCCUUGGCCAUAUUAACAGCCAUUUCUUCCAUUUUCUUUGUCAAGUUCAACAACAAGGCUUCAUUGGAAUCUUUUGGGGCUGGUAUUAUUGGUAACUCUGUUGCAGUUAACACUUGUUGUUGAUACAAAAAAUAGGGAGCAUACGCAAUUGUCACGUUCGGUGGUAUAGCUUGCAAUGGGGUGACAUUAACUAGUACCUGAAUAUUGGCAUUGGAAUUGGCCUUUGUAUCUAACAUCUAUGGAUAAGCACCCACUGAUCCGUUAUUGUGUUGUAACACAACUAUAUGGUGAAAGAUGAUGAUAUGGAUCUUAUUUUAGAAGAUCCAAGUUAAAAGAAAAGGUAGAAAAAUAUGGAUAAAAGAUAGGAAGGUAGUAAAACUUUUAGUAGUAAUGCUGCACUUUUAGAAAAAAUAGCUUCUACUUACUUUGUAGGACCAAAAAUAAGGCAAAAUAAGGUAAAUUGGAAAAAUAAAUGAUAUAGACAUCUUUAGGAAGAAGUUAAGAGUAAAUUCUAGUAAAAAUCACUUUAAAAAAACUAGAUGUUGAUACUUAGAGAGGGCCGGUUAUGAACCAGGGUCGAAAUCAGACCCUGAGGCACAAAACCGAGUCUCGACAAUGACUUCGGAACUCUUUGGUAGAUCGGAGAGUGGGAUUUGAUAGAAGAUUGGAUAGGAUUUCUAUGGGAAUUGAUAUUGGGUGAUUUGGAGUUGUUAUGACUUUGUAAGAGCUUUGCAAAGUCAAGGUUUGUUUCAGAUGACUUGGAUUUUAUGAAAUAAAAUAGGAUUUACAUUUUGGAUGAUUUCAAGAGUUUUGUAAUAGAUCUACAAGUGAAAUUUUGUGGAGUUAUGGUUAUAGUUGUGUUCAAUAUGUAUUGUGAAUUUGAGCUCAAUCUAACGGUUAAAUUGAUGGAUAUUGAGGUUUAAGUGGGUCAAAUUCUUAGAAAGUAGAAUUUUAGGACUAAUGGGAGUUUUUAAGAUUUCUUGCAAUCUACUAGUUAGAUUAGAGUGAAACUUGCAUGAGAAGAUAUUAGACUUAUUUUUCUAUGUGCAUUAGAAUUUUGAAAUCAAUCGAACGGUGCAAAAGAGAGAUAUCAGCUCUGGAAGAUUGGCAUCAAGUUUGGAUAAGGAGGUAGGCCAAUAUCCAAGUUUAUUUUUGAAGUUAUCAUUGAUUUGGUAACUCCGAUCCUUUUCAAUUUUUUUGUGCUUGUUUUUAACUUAUUUUUUUAGAAGUGUGAAAAAUUUGAGUUAAGAUCAACGGUUUAUUCAUUAGUUAUUGAGGUUUAAAUCUGUUAUAUGAAUUAGUAGGAUUUGGUUUAGGGUUUAGGAUUUGAUUUAGGAUUUAGGGUUUGGUUUAGGGUUUGGUUGGGAUUUAUUUAGGGUUUAGGAUUUGGUUAGGAUUUGAUUUAGGAUUUAGGAUUUGGAUUAGGAUUUGAUUAGGAUUUUAUUUAGGAUUUAGGAUUUAGUUAGGGUUUGGUUCAGGUUUUAGGGUUUGGUUUAGAGUUUAGGAUUUGGAUUAGGGUUUGAUUUAGGAUUUAGGAUUUAGUUAUGGUUUGAUUUAGGAUUUAGGGUUUGAUUAGGGUUUGAUUUAGGAUUUGGUUAGGAUUUGGUUUAGGAUUUGGUUGGGAUUUGGUUUAAGGUUUGUUUAGGGUUUGAUUCAGGGUUUAAGAUUUUAUUAGGAUUUAAGAUUCAAUUAGUUUUGGCCUAAAGUUUGAAUGAAGUUCAAUAGGAUUUUAACUAGAAUUAAAUUAAGAUUGAAUUGAGAUAUAUUUGAGUGAUAUUUGUGAUCCUUCUGAUAUUUCUUUAAGAAUUCUUAUUGUUUGUUUGAAAUUUCUUUGAGGUUUUUUUGAAUUUGAUUAAGCUUGCUUACCAUUAUUAUG
Molecule: long non-coding RNA, 47070 nt
Filed under: Physcomitrium patens
Lineage: Eukaryota; Viridiplantae; Streptophyta; Bryopsida; Funariales; Funariaceae
Description: long non-coding RNA (PPAT_LNC008544)
Source: RNAcentral